Molecule: long non-coding RNA, 50295 nt
Filed under: Citrus maxima (pomelo)
Lineage: Eukaryota; Viridiplantae; Streptophyta; Magnoliopsida; Sapindales; Rutaceae
Description: long non-coding RNA (CMAX_LNC001933)
Rfam family: Plant small nucleolar RNA R71 (bases 39612-39718)
Source: RNAcentral
UUGGAGAGAUUUUUGCAUUGUUGUUCCUGGAAGUGAAAUCCCAGAGUGGUUCGAGUAUCAGAAUAAUGAGGGUUCUUCAAUAACAAUAAGCACGCCUCCAAAGACGUAUAAGAAUAGUAAGCUUGUGGGAUAUGCUGCGUGCUGUGUUUUUCGUAUCCCUAAAUAUUCACUUCCAUAUCCCGAACAUGAUCUGUGUGUCUGGUCUACCGACGGGUAUGGACCGUAUGGUUAUCGAAUUUCGUUUGGAAAGCAAUUCGGUCAGGCUGUGUCAGACCAUCUUUUCCUAUGCUACAAGAAUAGGGAAGAUAUUAGUGAAGUGGAAUUUUCUUCGCGGUCGGGAUUGGAGUUGAAGAGGUGCGGUUUGCAUCCAAUAUAUGUGCAUCAAGGGGAUAAGUUCAACCAAACAAGUGAUCCGGUUUGGAAUUUGAACGAAUUCGGUCACGAUUGUUUAGGUUCAACAUCCUUUAUGCGUAGCCUUAAUGAUGACUUAGACAGGGCAGAAGGCAGUGGAAGUUGCUGCGGGGAUGAUGCAGGAGGAACGACGUCGUCUGAGCGAAGCUUUCUAAAGCGAAGUCUUGAAGGAUAUGUUGGGGCGGCUGAAGCUAGUGGAAGUGGCUGCUGUAAUGAUGAGGAGGAACCACAACCUAAAAGAUUUAGACAACUCGAAUGAAGGGCACAUAAUUUAUUUUUCUCUGCAGAUCGCAUUUCAUUUACUUUCUUUGUAUUUAUUUAUUGUAUCUGUUCUUGUUACUUAUUUCCCUGUUAAAUUACCAGAAAAUGCCUGGCUUGGGUCAAACAGUUGGACAGAUGUUUUAUUACUCUGUUUUUUCUGCUUUGCUUUAUUACUCUGUUUUUCCUGCAAAAGAUGUCGUACAUAGAUGCGGUGAGCGCGAGUUGUUUGGUAUACUUGAAGGGGCUCGCUCGGGACCACAAUGACUAAUUAUUUAAUGUUGUGUGUUAAAUAUUAAAAUAUGCGGAUAGCUUAUUGCUUUUGAGACCUAAGAGUCAUUGAUACUCUGUUUUUUCAACCUAAAAGUAUUUAUUUAAUCUUAGGGUGAUUGAAAACAAAUUGACGAAUUACCAUUAAACAAGCAACAAAAUAACAAAUUCUUUGAAAAGAAAGUAUAUAAUAGAAAGAAGAAAUUAUCACAUAAAAAAAAAAUGUUCCAGUUUUUGCCUUUAGCCUCUCCUCCCCAAGUUGUCGGGCAUGGACUUGCUUUCGCUUCCGAAAGGAAAAAAUAAAAUAAACAUAUGUAUAUUAACAUAAUUUUAAUCUUCAAAAAAUAUUUUAAUACUUUACAGUAUUAUAUUAUAUUAAACUAAAUUUUAUAAUGGAUAUAAACAUAAUAUUAAAAUAAAUAUAUAAAGAUUCAAUUAUUUUAAAUUUAUAUAAAAUAAUUUUAAUAUUAUCAAUACAUGAGAUAUUUUUUAUUAGUUGUAAAAUCUAUUUAACCCAAAUAUUUAUUUAAAAAUUUAAUAUUAACCAUUAGAUUGUGAAAGAUUAAUGGCUCAUUUUUUGUGUCAAAAUUUAAGUUAAAAUAUCCAAAACCAUGCUUUCAUAACGAGAAUAUAAAAUAAAUAGAUAAUAUUUCAUGAAUAUUAUUGGAGGUAAUAUUUACUUAUUAUAUUAAUUACCAUCAUAAAUGCAAUCAGCCUCUUGGUGACAUAAAAUUUUGUAACCACAAUCAAUUAAUAUCAACAAAACAAUCUUUCAUGAUUCAUAAACUAUAUAGCUAAUUAAGAAUUUAUGUUAAUUUCAACUUUACGAAAUCAACAAAGUGAUAUUGGAAAAUUAAAUGAAAAUAGGCUUGUAAAACUUAAACUUAUAUUCCUACCAUAUAAAAGUAUUCACUGUAACAUAAUCCAUAAUUUCAUGGUAUAGGUUGUGCUAAAUUGAUGUGAAAAAUAAUAUACACUUCAUGAUUAAUCAUCCAAUGAUCCUUAAUAAUAUACAAAAUAGUGAGCAUUAUGUUAAAUUUUAUUAAAGCAUGACAAAUGUGAAGAAUGACAGGGGCAGCAGCUGCAGACGGUGGACGUGAGGUGGCUUCGGGUUUUGCUAUUUUUCUAACUUUUUCUUCUUUUUUUUUUUUAUGAAAGUAAUGGAUGGUGGAGGGAGGAUUUGUGUAUGGGGAAUGGUUGAUGGUCAGGAAAGCUCUGCCUAAUACAAAGAAAGACUCUGAUACCACUUGACGCAUCGCAGAAGCGAUACUAAAUUUCAUUAUAACAUACGUUCUUGAAAAUUCAAGAAAAAAGGCUCUUACGAAGAAGAAAGUAUCUCAAUUAAGAAAUAUUAAAUAUUAUUGAUGAGAAGCUUAUGUAUGUUAUAAAGAACUAUCAGUAAGAAGCCUAUAUAUACUAAGUAGCCAACUUAAUCUUAAUCCUUCUUAAAUAAAAUAAAUAAUUUAAAAUCCUAAUUAGAUUAGAAUUCCAAACAUGAUCGAAUAAGUUUAAAAAAUAAGAUAAAUUCUAAUAAAAUACUAAAUACCCAAAUAUUAUAAUUCCUAAUAAAUUCUAAUUUAUUUUAUCUAAUAUGCUUCCUACAUUACUUUAUCGCUAUAUUGUCUGAAUCGAUGUCUCUUUUUACACUAGUAAAAAAAUGACCUUCUUUGAUACUAUUUUAGUAUCAAGAACUUGUUUUACUGACACCGAAUUCAGUGACACACCGAAUUUAGUGUCACUGAAUACGGUGCAAGAAACUUACUGACACAAGUUUUUUGUAUCAGCGAAUCUAUGUCACCGUAGUAUCAAAAAAAUAUUGAUGCUUGAACAUCACAUAUAUAACGAGACUAUGUUAUCAAACAAAUAAUGAUACAAAAGCAUAAUAAAUAUAACGAUACUUUGGUAUCAAUGUUUAUUUGAGAAAAAUUAAAAAAAAAAUUAGAAAUCCAUAUAAUAGAAAUUGAACAUUUGCAAUUGGCAUUUGAAUUGAAAUUUACAUUCAUCAAUAUGAAAGCUAUUACAUUGCAAUGAACAAUUUAAAAAUUAUUACAUUGUUUGAAACUUAUUACAUUGUUUACCAACUACAAAUAAUUUAUAAUCUGAUAUAUAGUAACAGCACAAUCUUCCAACACAUGUUUAUUGCUUCGCGGAUUCUUUCUUUCGGUAAUCGAAAUGAAGUCUUCUAUUAUUGUUUCCAUGUUCCAAUUUGACAUUUGCUCUGAUUAUUUAGUUUUGACCCACAUACAUGCUUUGGUUUAUUGUAAGUCAUCCGGCACCAUUCAAGACAUGCACAAUAAAAAAACUGAUAAAAUUUACAUGCUGCAAUCUACAUAGUUUCCUAAUGGCAUAUAAAUGCAUGCAAGACAAGCAUAUUAUAUUAACAAUAAAAAUUAUUUAACCGUUGUCCAAGAAAAAGAGGAGAAAUUAUUAACAACAUCAUGAGAGGAAGUCUAACAAUACAGUCAAACAAACAAAAGAAAACCCAUGCUUGGUUGUAUAACGAGCAUGGAAAGUUCAACACAAACACAAACACAAACACAGAGACCAAUGGAGUUAACCAAAGUAAUGAAGGAAUUUCUGUGCAACUGUCAGUGGACACACAGAGCAAUGGAGUUAACCAAAGUAGAGCAAUGGAGUUAACCAAAGUAAUGAAGGAAUUUCUGUGCAACUGUCAGUGGACACACAGAGCAAUGUGUGCAUAUGAGCAGGCACAAACAUGACAUCCAAGUGAAUAAAUUUAAAAUAUUAUAUCUGGCAAUUAAAUCAACACAAACAUGAGAAAGAAUAGAUCCAAUAAGGUAAAUCUAGACAACAAUGAUCAAAAAGCAACAAGACAAAAUUUGAGAAACAAAAGGUGAAAAUAAAAAUACCAGGCAUUUACUCCAGUAGCACCAUGGAUCAUAAAAAUUGACAGCUAAAAUAGGAUACCUGGAAAGGAAAUAUAAUACAAAUCAAAGAAGGCAUCAUUGCAAUUGCCACAUAGCAGAGAAAUAUUGUGAUCACAGAAUUGAAAAUAAAAAUUAUAAGUUGUGGUUCAGAGAAGGCUCACUUACUCGUGUGAAUAACUAUCAAAAUUAUUGGCAGUUAGCGUAUGAGAACCUUCAACAGAAUCAUCAUCAGCUUCCUCUCCAUGCUUAAGCGAAUGUAUAACAAGCAUUGAGUGGAAUUCAGAACCAGUGGGUCUUAAAUCAGGUCCUAUAGAAAAAUUGCGAAUAGUUUUUGUUAAAUUUAAUCUGUUCUAGAAACAAUGAAAAGCCAAAUAGAACUCCAUGAAAGCAUCAUGUUACACAAACAAUCCAGGUGGACGAUAAUAUACACUGAAUAUGCAAAAUGCACCCAUGAUAUCCAACAAAAGAGGCACAACUAUGUAAGCGGCAACCUACCAUUCCAAAUAAAAACAACAUAGAAAGGGCUGCUAUUAUGGAUAAUCCUGCACCAGAUAGUGAUGCCUCUGUCAAAUCCCUUGGAAUUUUCCUGCAAACAGAAAAGAAAUAAGUAACAAUAUAAACCCUGUGAUUUUAUCUAUGUGAUUUACUAAUACAAAGAUACGGGUUGGAUUUAUAAAUUACAUAGAAUCACCAACUUUCAAGUAUAAUGAGAUGGACGAAUUAUAAACAUUAUCAAACAAGUAAAAGCGAGUCGCUAACAAAGAGCAAUCAAAAUCCACUGUCACAAAUAGCAACAUGAAAGUGCAUAGUUUCAAAGCUUCGGAGUUUGUUCAAAAUUAUAAUAUUUUUAAUUCACAUACUAUUAUACUAAUAAAAGCUCGAACAUAUUUGUUGUCCCUACAGUCAAAUAUUUAAUUUCAUAUUCUUCUUAAAAUGCAUCAAAAUCCAUACAUUGUAAGUAUAAUGAAGAACAUAACUAUUAGUAUUAGAAUUUCUUAAGCAUUCAGCUGAUUCACUAAUAAUAAUAAUAAUAAAGCCUAUACAUAUAGAAGAAUACAAUCAUCAUACAGCCAAAAUCAGUGCAUUACAAGUAAUAAGUUAUAAAAGGCACAAUUACCUCUUUAGUUGCAGAUGAGUAGUUUCUCAAAGUGGAUACCACAGGGCGAAGUCUCUGGAUUAGAAACGCGUUCACAAGGAACAAUAGUCAGCAGUAAAAAAAAAAAAGGGCCAAAAUGAAUACUAUUUAGGCAUACUGAAAUAGAACCUCCUCCUGCAGCCACUUUCUACCUAAUAAACAUUAGCAAACAGAUAAAAGCGAGUCGCUAACAAAGAGCAAUCAAAAUCCACUGUCACGAAUAGCAACAUGAAAGUGCAUAGUUUCAAAGCUUCGGAGUUUGUUCAAAUUAUAAUAUUUUUAAUUCACAUACUAUUAUACUAAUAAAAGCUCGAACAUAUUUGUUGUCCCUACAGUCAAAUAUUUAAUUUCAUAUUCUUCUUAAACUGCAUCAAAAUCCAUACAUUGUAAGUAUAAUGAAGAACAUAACUAUUAGUAUUAGAAUUUCUUAAGCAUUCAGCUGAUUCACUAAUAAUAAUAAUAAAAGCCUAUACAUAUAGAAGAAUACAAUCAUCAUACAGCCAAAAUCAGUGCAUUACAAGUAAUAAGUUAUAAAAGGCACAAUUACCUUCUUAGUUGCAGAUUAGUUUCUCAAAGUGGAUACAACAGGGCGAAGUCUCUGGAUUAGAAACGCAUUCACAAGGAACAAUAGUCAGCAGUAAAAAAAAAAGGGGCAAAAUGAACACUAUUUAGGCAUACUGAAAUAGAAGAACCUCCUCCUGCAGCCACUUUCUACCUAAUAAUUCCCCAUAUCUUUAAUUGUUUCAAUUAAAAUACUGCCCUACUCACCAUAUAAACCGCCAAUAACAACACUAUAAAUAACACAAUCAGCAAACAGCCAAAAAAAAAAGGAUACAUAAUCAUAUCCUAUUUAAGUGAAUGUAAAUCGAAGUCUAUAAUUAGUUAGUAGACAAUAACAUCGUGUUUACGAUAUGCGAAUCAAAACAAAUAUUACAUAUAAUUAUUUUAAAAAAAAUUACUAACCGGCUUAUCUCAAGCAGACAUGUAAUAAAUCAUGCUUUCCAUCAAAUCAAGCAAAAUUUAUCAAAAUUAAUCAAACUACAGCUAUAGAAACAAUAAAAUCACAUUCGAAAUUAAGAGAAAAUUAGAAAAUUUUCAAAAAGAGAAAGAAAAUCGAUGAAAGAAAUAGAGCAAACACUAACAUUUGUUUCUCUGGUGUCCGCGUGUUUCAACACCUCGAACAGGGAGUUCUCAUAUAGAUUUGUGAAGCUAGUUUCUUUGACUUGCUCUUCCUCUUUCUUAUUCCUCCUCAUCUUGUUUGACUUUUUUCAUCCUUUGGUUGUCUUCGGUGGUGACCGAAGAAUCAAGACCCAUACGCUUCAUAAAGUAAAACUAGGAUGAUUUUAUUUUGUUGGGAGACUGAGAGUAAUUGUUUUGUUAAGACUGAAAAGGCUGGGUGAUUAGUUUUGUUUCAAUUUAGGGUUUCUUCAAAUGAGUGGGAAGGAUUUGGGAGAGAGGGAAGAUGAAGAGGGAAUAGUACUUUCGUCAAGGCCAAAAAAUUUCACGAGUGCUGAAUUUUAGACACCCUAAUUUUAAAAGUAAAACUACGUCGUUUGGAAUAAAAAAAAUUAAAAUUAAAAUUAAAAAUAUAUAUCUUAGUAUGAAUAAGAGUUUAUGAUACUAUAUUAUUAAUAACCACUGGCACUAAUACGUAAAACACACUAAAAGUUGCUUAGGUCAUCAAAUACUGAUAUUUUUUUAUUUAAAAUCAGCAACUUAAUAUCAGUGAAAGUCAUUUUUUUAGUAGUGUUAUUAAAAAAAAAACAUUUUCUCAUCAUCCAUUACUAAGGCCCCACUCAAUUGCUUGUCAAUUACUUCUUGAUCAACAAGUAAAUUUUUAAAAUUCUCAAUGGUUGGUUGAGUUGGACAACCUUAGAUAGUUGUAAAAAAGCUCUUAAGCUCAAGCCUCAAACCAUUGACAAUAAUUCUCUUUAUUCUAAAUUUAGAAAUUACAGUAGUAGAAUCUAACCCAGAAAUUUCAUGGCAUAGGGAUUUUAACUUGUUUAAGUACUCGUCAAUCGUCAUGUUUCAUUAUGAAAUUGAUAGUAGCUCAUUUUUCAAAAGUUGUAGCCAUAUGUUAUUCUUCUUUGAAAACUCAUUGUAGAAGUAUCCCAAUUUUUCUUAGGUAUUUUAACCUUUUUUAUGUGUUGUAGCAUUUCUUUUUCAAUUGUAGUCUUGAUGGCGAACAUGGCCUUCCAGCUAUAAUGCUUCACUUCUUUAAAGCGGCAUCCUCAGUUAGUGGUCUCAUAUUGUUACCACAAACAAUCUCCUAGAGAUCUUGACCCUGUAAGCAAGACUCCAUCAAUGUUGUCCACAUAUUGUAAUUUUCCUUGUCGAGCUUUUUAACUCUUCCAACUACUUGAAGGUCACCCGUCAUAUUUUCAAGACUUUAACAAUGCCAAGCAAGCUUGAUGUUCACUAACGAACUUGCAAAGUUCCAAACAAAGUACUCUAAUAAAGUACUCCACUUCAAAUUUGAACCCAACAGCCUUUUACUCAAUAGAUUUUGACAAGUUCAUUCAUUUAGAUUAAGAGAAAAGAAUUGAUGGUAUUGUGCCACAGGGAGGAAUCGGUUCCAAAGUCUUUUUUCCACGAUCCAAUCCCUAAGAUCAGGCAACAUAUCCUUCACCGAAAAAACAUAAUGAUCAUAUAUAAUGCCUAUUGGAAUAUGCCUCCACAUUAGCUUCGUUUUCGUUUUCAAUCUAUCAUGCAUUAGUAGCCAAAGAAAAGUACAAAUGCAUUGUGGACUGUGUCAUUGCCAAAUAUGGUAGUUUUCAGGUCUAAAAUUUUAAAGUGCGGGAAAGUCUGGGAACACUUUAAAACCAUGCGGUGGACUGUAAUAAAUAGAUAAUAUUUUUUCCAUUCAUUCCCAUGAAAAGUACAAAUGCUUUGUGGACUGUAAUCAUAAAUUAUGUAACUUCUCAGGGGUGUCUUCUGGCCAAGAUCAGAGGUGAGAGGUGUGAUAUCCACCCAGUUUAUAUGGAGGAGUUUGACAAAACUACAAUCCAAUGGAAUCACUUUACCACUUAUAAUAUGAAUGGAUCCCCUCAAAUUUUUUUUGCAUCAAAGAUGGUUGUAGCAACAAUGUCAAGGCGAAACCUUACUGCAUAUGUUGAGGUGAUGAGGAACCACAACCUCAAGGAUCCAUUUAGUGAACUCAAAUAAAGGGAGAAGCCUGCUUAGUAUUCUUUGAAUAUUUCAGUAAGCAUGCAUCUUCAAUUUCAGUUGGCAAUUUUUAUUUUAUAUAUGUUAAAUUACCACAAAACCAAAAUAUCAUCUCUAAAGUUGUUACCUUCCAUGAAUCGAAAAUGCUUUCAUGCUUGAUCAGAUUGUUUAAGUAUGCGUUCCUAAAAUAUACAAAAGUGCUCAGGAAAAUGGCACGGAAUAAUUAGUGUAUAAUAAAUUUUAUUUUUGGUAAUUUUUUAGAUGCAUAUGGUUUUAAAGUUCUCUUCAAAUAGCUGGACUUGCCAUAUACUAUAAUAUUGUUUAGUAAGGCAUUACUAUCAUAUCAUAUAUUUUGUUUAUCUAUCAUUAAUAUUUACAUUUUUAUUAUUUCAUUAAUCUUAUUUUAAUUUACUUUGUAUUCAUAGACAUAAUUUAAGAAUAUAAUAUUAUUGUUCUUAUGUUUCCGUUUUCGUAUAUAAAUUCCUGGAAGAUGCUCCAACAUCAAUUUUGUCGUUAUUGAAUAAACAAAAAAAAAAAAAAAGAUACAACAACUGAUGCUCUCAUUCACAAAGAACUAGAUAAUGUUCAGGCAUUAGAUGACUCCAGACAGCUGCAAGCUAUGAAAGAAGAAUAUGAUGUUUUGAUUAAGAAUAAUACAUGGACAUUAGUUCCAAGACAAGCUGUCAUCACGUUGCUGACAAUAAAUGGGUGUGAAGGAUCAAGUAUAACAAAGAUGGAAGUGUAGCUAAGUAUAAAUCCAAGCUUAUUGCAAAAGGAUUUUAGCAAGUGGCAGGGGUGAAUUACUUUAAAACAUUCAGUCAAGUGGUUAAAUUAGCUAUUAUUAGAGUGGUGUUGAGCCUAGGAGUGAUGAACUAAUGGAAAAUAAGACAAGUUAAUGUUAACAAUGCCUUUUUUAAUGGAGAGUUAAAUGAGGAGGUAUUCAUGUGUCAGCCGGAAAGGCUUUAUUAAUGUUGAGAAACUUGAAUUUGUGUGCAAAUUGUACAAAUGUCUAUAUAGACUCAAACAAGUUCCUAGAGCUUAAUUUGAUAAGCUAAAAAGUUGUUAAUUGCAUUAGGGUUUUAUUAAUACUAAUUUGGAUACCUCUCUUUUCAUAAGAAGAAACACUCAUUACAAGUCCAAGUACUAUAAAGUUAAAAAGUUUUAUAACUCAGUUUAGGAAAGCAUUUGCCUUAAAAGACUUAGGAAUAUUAUCUUAUUUCCUUGGAAUUAAAGUGUUGCAAGACGCACAUUGUGUAUAUUUAUCACAAAGAAAAUACAUAAGAGAUCUGUUGUCUAUAGUUGAAAUGGUUGAAUGCAAAGGCAUUGACACACUUAUGGUGUCAAUGCCUAUGUUGGCAUUGACACCCCAACAUAGGCAUUAAACCAACAUCAUAUAAAUUAGCAUUAAGUUCGAUCAAAUUCAUAUUGUCUUCAAUAAGAUUUGAAAGUAAGUGAAGUUUAACACACCAAUAGUUUUGGUGAUCUGUCUGAAACGUAAUAGACAACACCACUUAUUGGAUUUUAUUUCCUAAAAUACUUAUUGUUUAAUUUAUAAAAUAUAAACUCAUUUAUUAAAAUUAAAUAUCUUCUCAUAAAUAUAGAUAUAAAUUAUGAAAUGAUGUGGGUGUAAAUUAUUUAUUAAAACCUUAAUUUAUUUAAGUGUUUAAUUGAAAUCCCAUUUAAAAUUUUUUAAAAAUUAUUUAUUUAUAGUUAUUCAAGUAGUUUUAAUAGAAAAUGAAUUUUAUAAGAAAUUUUAAGGGAUGUCGAAAGGCUACUCUUGAAAUAAAUGACCCAAGUCCAUUUGGGCCCAUGUAUAAGGAACGAGGUCUCAGUUUAAAGGCCGGAUCGGGGUCGAGCCUCAACUCACGCUUACAUAAAAAGGAAUGAGAAAAAAUUAAAAAUAUAAAUGGAUUUCUCUAUGAUGCUGUAAUUUUUUUAUAGCAUCAAUAAUGUUUUAAUUGUGUACCAUUGGAUUAAAUCUAAUGGUAUACAAUAUUUGUACUAAAGAAAAAAAAUUAAAAAUAAUAGUAAACAGAUUGUUAACCGUUCAAGGGGUGGAUAAAUUUUGUAAAAUAAUUGUGAUCACCCUUAGAGUUUGAAGCAAUUUAACUUAAAUAGCAUAUUUUAUUUAAAAUUACUUUUCUACUCUCCUUUAAAUUUGUAUUGUGAUAAUCUUUUUUAAAAUAAAUCUUCCAAAAUCUAUUAUCAUUAAGUAUAAAAUAUAAUAUGAAGUAGGUUAUUUAACACAAAUCAAAUAAAUAAGUUGCAAUUGUAAAAUUAAUUAUAUAUAAUAUAACACUAGUAAAUAAUACAACUAAAUAAAUAUAUUUAAGUAAAUGUCAUAGGUACAUCAAUAAACUCACUGGUGAGAUUGCUUGUAAUCUAAAAAAGACUUAAUCACACAUAUUUUAAUAAAAUUUAAUAUCUUAUAUCAAAAUAUUCAUUAUUUUAUAUAAUUUUAAGGACCGUUGUAUAAUUGAUUAUGAAGUAUAUAUUAUUUUUAACACUUGUUUAACAUACCUAUUCUCUCAUCUUUUUGUUUAGGAUUUCUCUAUAAUAUUGUAUGAGUUUUUACAGCAUUGAUAAUAGGAUUGUUGUGGACUCUUAGAUGUUAGGGUUUUCAUGUUUAGUAUUCAUUUGAUAUAGUGAAUAAAAAAUUAGCUAUUUAAAUCAUAACAAGUAAUCUUCAUGCUGCAAGUAAAUAUAGAUUUUUUUAUUUUUAAUUAAUUGAUAAAAGAAAAUUUAUAUUAUGAUGGAUAAAAAUCCCAGAAUCAAUAAUGGGAUCAUUGGAUUUAAUAUUAGAAUCUUCACCCUUAAUUUAAUUUUAAUGGAUAAGUAAUUAUGUAACAAGUAAUAUGCAAGUUGUGAUAUUUCUUCAUAUUUUAAAUUAUUUUUUAUCUAAUCAAUCAAUAAAUAUUUUAAAUCAUUAAAAAAAGGAAAGAAAUACAAAUAAUUUUGGAAUUAAAAUUAUUAUAUAUUAAUCCUCUUACUUUACAAUUUUACAUUUUUAUUUUACUUUUACAUUUAGUAUUAGAAAUAUAUUUAAUAGCAUUAAAAUAAAUGUAAUUAACAAGUAAUGGUAUUUCAAUAAUACUUUAUAUAAAGUUAUUACAUAAAGUCUUAUAAUAAUUUGUAUUGUGUGAAUUUAAUUACAAACCAUUAAUACCUAAACAAUAAUGAUAAUAGAAGGCAUUGUAAUAAAAUAUUUUAUAUAUGUUUUAUUAGUAAUACUAUGAGUCACAACAAAUGAGAAAUAUUUUAUUCACCAAUGAAAAAAAAAUAUAUGGCUAUAUAAAUAUAUAGUGAGAAAUAUUUUGAUUUAAUUUUUUAACAAAAAAUUAAACUAUUAAUUUCAUGCAAUUCAAUGGUGGAGGAUAUGCCAAUAUGAAAUGCUGCUUUGAUAUGACAAUAUGAAAUGUUGCUUUGGCUUUUAAUAUUAACCAUUACACUAUAAGAAUAAGAUAUUAAUGGCUAAAAUAUUAUGUAAAAAUUUUAAGUUCAAGUAUCCCAAACCAUGUCUUUAUAAUGGAAAUAUAAAAACAUGCAAUGAAUUUUUUUCUCAUUUUGUCAUUAAAUAUUAUUGGAUGCAAUAUUUUAUUUAUUGUACUAUUACUUAUCAUAAUAAAAGUAAUGACUCUUAGUAACAUAAAAAUUUUAUAAUUACAAUCAAAGGAUGUCAAUAAAAUAAUCUUUCAUGAUUCAUAAACUAAAACUCAUUAGGAAUAUGUGUUAGAUUAAACUUUUAUGAAAUUAACAAAGUGACAUUUGAAAAUAAAAUGAAAAUAAGCUUGUGAAAGUUAAAUUUUAUAAAGCUUGAAUAAUUUUCUACCAUGUAAAUAAAAAUAUAAAAAUAAUCUUUCAUGAUUUUUUCCCUUUUUUCCACAUAAAUAUUAUUGGAGACAAUAUUUUAUUCAUUGUCACUAGUAAUUACCAUAAUAAAAGUAAUGGCUCUCAGUAACAUAAAAUUUUAUAAUUACAAUCAAAGGAUGUCAAUAAAAUAAUCUUUCAUGAUUCAUAAAAUAAAGUUAAUUAGGAAUAUAUAUUAGAUUUAACUUUUAUGAAAUUAACAAAGUGAUAUUUGAAAAUAAAAUGAAAAUAUAUAGGCUUGUAAAACUUAAAAUUUCUAUCAUGUAAGAAUAUUAAUUAUAAGAUAAACAAAAAUAAUAUAUAUUUUAUAAUCAAUUAUACAAUAGUCUUAGUAUUAUAUAAAAUAAUGAACAUUUUAAUUUGCGAUUUUAAAUUUUAUUAAAACAUGAGUGAUUAAGUAGUUUUUAAGUUACAAUCAAUCUCACCAAUUAGUUUAUUAAUGUAACUAUGACGUUUACUUAAGUAUAUGUACUUAGUUGUGUUAUUUAUUAGUAUUAUAUCAUAUAUAAAUUUUGUAAUUGCAAUUUAUUUAUUUGAUUUGUGUUAAAUAACAUACUUCAUAUUUAUUUUAUACUUAAUGGUAAUAGAUUUUGGAAGAUUUAUUUAGAAAAGAUUAUCACAAUACAAAUUUAAAGGAGAGUUGAAAAGUAAUUUUAAAUAAAAUAUGUUAUUUAAGUGAAAUUGCUUCAAACUCUAAGGGUGGUCAAUGUGAUUUUACAAAAAUUUCUCCACUCUUAAACCGUUAACAAACUGUUUACCAUUGUUUUUAUUAUUUUUUUUCUUUAGCAAAAAUAUUAUAUACCAUUAGAUUUAAUCCAAUGGUACACAAUUAAAACAUUAUUGAUGUUGUAAAAAAAAUUACAGCAUCAUAGAGGGACCUAAUAUAAAUACAUACAUAAAAUUAGUUAAAUCAUUAAUGCAUAUAUUAAAAUUAAAAAUCUGCUUACGUUUAUAGUCAAAAAUCGCUGAAGGUUCUUUGCAUGUUUUCGCUUGUGGGGCUGUGGUCAGAAACUGUGAGGGAGAAUUUCUGGGGGAUUUCUCAUGUCCAUUACAUGUUGAAACUGCUUUUGUUGCUGAACUGUUGGCUGUUAUCUUGGCGAUUGAGCAUACUUCUUUUGGAUGUUGGACUAUGCCGUGGAUCAAAUGUGAAUAUGCUUUAACUGUGCUUCAUCUUCGUAAAAAGCGGCUUCCGCCCAUGGUUUCUCAUUCAUCGAUGGAAUAAUUGUAUUGCUCUUAUGGAUUCCAUGACGUUGCACUUUUCUCGUGUCUUCAGGGAGGCUGAUGGGGUAGCUGGUUGUUUGAGCAAUUUAGGUGCCAUGGUGGAUUCCUUUACUUGGUGGGACUCUGCACCCCUCAUGUUGCUUCUCUUUUGCAUGAGGAUGCUUUUAGGCUGCCUAGCUAUCUGUUCAGCUAGCUUUUGUAAUUUUAGUUUGGCUGGUUUUCUUGCUAUAUUUUUAUUUUAUUUUAAUAAAACCUCCUCACUUUGGUGAGGAUUCAUCAAAAAACAAAAGGAAAAAAAGUUAGAACAACCUAGAUCAAGUAAAUUAUAUCGCAGGGAUUUUCGAAGAAAUUCAAGCAUUGGAAGGAUGAAAAACAAAUAUGUAGAUGAUCGAUCUCACCUUAUAUGGAAUUGCAGGCCAAGUUCAAGGAAGGAAUUUUUGAGAAAUUAUGUUCGAUAAAAUGCCCAAGAAGGAAUGCAUCCCACCUGAUGCGUUGAACAAUGAGACGAUACAUCUGUUGCUACAAUUUAUUCACAUAAGAAAUUCAAUUAAAGCAUUUGAAUGGGAAAAUUUUUUUUUCUCUUGUUGCCAGGAACCAAAACUGUUGCCACUUUACUGGUAUACUCCGGGUGUUUUCCGCUGUUUCAAUUUACUUGCUGGUAUUUUAUUUUCGUUUGCUGAAGUAUGAUUAUUUAACAGCCAGUUACUUAUUACAAUAAGAGGCUGUGGAGUCAAUUGCUUGCAUCAUGAGCAUCCCGGGAACUACGAUGUCUGCUUGAGCUUUAGAGGUGAAGACAAGACACCCGCACUGCAAGAACUUUUCAGAUCACCUCUAGUCCACUUUGAAUAAAAUUGGAAUUAAUGUAUUUAGUGAUGAAAAAGAACGUGAAAGGGGAAUAUCCAUUUCACCAGCACCGUCUAAAGUAAUUGAAGAAUCAAGAAUUUCAGUUAUUGUCUUCUUAAGAAACUGCGCUUCUUCAACUUGGUGCUUGGAUGAACUUGUUAAGACUAUUGAAUGGAAGAACACGUCAUGUUCGCCAACAAUUGGUUUUUCCAAUUUUCUAUGAUGUUGAACCAACAGUGGUAAGGAAACAUAUAGGAAGUUUUCAAGAAGCGAUUGCUAAUCAUGAAGAAGUUCUUAAAGGAGAAUAUAGAAAGGGUGCAAAAAUGGAGAGGCGCUCUGCAAGAGGUGGCUAAUAUCUUUGGCUAGGAAUUGAAAGAUAGGUAAUCAUUCUUAUUCUCAAUGAUUAAUUUUCUAAGAUGUGGAACAACUAAUUUUUGUUUGUUCUGCAUGAAUCAUAAUAAGUGAGAAGAUGUCUGGAUUUCUCCACUAUUAAAAAACUGCCAAUAUUUAUUCAGUAUAUUUAUUUACUAGUUUCAUGUUCAGUGUGUGCAUGCGCAUGUGUAUAUUUGUAUCAACAAUAAGAUUGCAACGACCAACUUGCCUACAAUUUUCCAAUAAACUUUACAUGACAAGAUUUUAUACUAUGUUGUUGGGUGAAUGAUGUGGUAGAGCAGAGGGAUUCUAGAACUUAUCAAGUUUUUAGGCAUUCGAACAGGGAGAGACAGUAGAAUAAAUGUAUAAGAAUUUGUUAAAAUCAUAGGAUUUAAUUGAAAUAAUAACUUGAUCAAUGAAUAUCUACAUACGAAGAGUUAUAGACGAAAUUAGAGAAGAGUUACAUGAAGAAUAACCUAGAGAUUAAUCAAACACAAGUUAUGACUUUAUCACUUCCGUUUUGUAUAUAUAUAUUAUGUAAUUUUUUGACACUACGUUACGCUCACACUAGCUUUAGCUCACCAACACAAAUAUUUUCUUGUUCUAUUCAACCCGCAUGAAUGAAUCAGACUUUAUUAUGGAGAUUUUCAAUGAGAUACCAAGCAAAAUUCCUUUAAAAUCAUAGACUCUUAAGGAGCUAGUAGGAAUGGAUUCACACUUGGAGAAGCUAACGAUUCUAAUGGAUAAAGGGCCUAAUGAUGUUCGUAUGAUAGGGAUCUGUGAUAUGGGAGGUAUAGGUAAGGCAGCUCUUGCAAAGGUUGUUUAUAACUUGAUCUAUCAUGAAUUUGAAGUAAGUAGUUUUCUUGCCAACGUUAGAUAAACCUCAGAAAAAGGAGGUCAGAUUUCCUAACAAAAUGGAAUUUAUAUAAUGUUAUCAACAUAAUUGGAAGUGGGUGCGACACAAAAAUGUUAGCUAGAAAGUUCAGGCAGCAGGAUCAUCAUAACAUCCAGAGAUAAACAUCGUUGACAACACAUAGAGUGGACGAAUUGUUGGUCCUUAAGCAACUAUACUAUGAUGAAGCUCUUGGACUCCUUUGUAUAAAAGCCAAUAAGCUAGGGAAAGGAUAUAAGUAACUGUCGAAAAGUGUUGUAAACCAAUAAGCUAAGUUGUAAGAACAUUAGCUGAACAACAGCAGCAAAUUGUGGAACGUAACAAAUGUACAUCACGUGUUGACAAAAAACACGGUAAGUGACAAAGUGCAAUGCAUGUGUUUUGAGUUCAUGAUUCUAAAACUCAAGAAAUGAAGUAUAAAAUUGCUAUCAUUAUAUAAUGCAAAGUAAAACAUAUUCUGUAAUGCAGCCUACAUUUUAUUCAUUUUUUUAUGAUACACGUACAAAAUGUUUUCCUUUGCCCAAGCUAUCAAUUGCACAAUGUAGGCUUUCAAGGAGAUCCUUUGGUCCACAUUUGGUUAAUUCAAUCUUUGAUCCGAAGGAAACGACUUUGUGCCCUGAGAAAGGUAAGUGACAAAAUGUUUUGCUCGACAUUCUAUGCUUUAAAUCUAUGCAUAAAUAAUUUUAUGGACAUCUUCACAUCUUAGUCUGCACUUAUCAUCUGCUUUUAUGAUUUUUAAGGAACUGAGUAGUCGAAUGCAUGGUAUGUGACUUUUCAGAACUUAAGGUUCAUUCUAUGGACAUCUUCACAUCCUUUUCAGAACUUAAGGUUAUUUUUUAUUAAAUCUCCAAAAACACUGGUACUUUCUGGUUGCUCAAAGUUGAAGAAAUUUCCAGAGAUUGUGGGAAAUAUGAAGUUUUUGCGGGAGCUUCUUUUGGAUGGAACUGAUAUUAAGGGACUACUAUUAUCAAUUGUACGUUUAUUUGGAAUUGUUCAGUUGAAUUUGAAAGGUUGUAAAAAUAUUUAGUGUCUUCCAAAUUUUAUAAGUGCUCUAAAAUUUCCUUCCACUUUGAAUUUCUCUGGCCUUUUGAAAUUCAGAUUGUUUCUAGAGAUCAUGGGACGUAUGGAACAUAUGUUGGCACUUCGAUUGUUGGGAACUGCUAUAAGAGGAUUGCCAAUGUCAAUUGAAUAUCUCUCUGGCAUUUUUUGCAAAAUUUAAAAGGUUGUAAAUAUCUCUUGAGUCUUCCAAUUACUAUAAGUAGAUUAAAAUGUUUAAGAACUCUAAUGCUCUCUGGUUGCUCGAAGCUGGAAAAUUUUUGGGGAAGUAUGAAAUCUCUAACUAUGCUAAUUUUAGAUGGAACUGCUAUUCGAGAAUUUCCAUUGUCAGUUGAAUAUCUAACUGGCCUUGUUGUGUUGAAUUUUAAAGAUUGGCAAAAUCUCGAAUGUCUUUCAAGUCCCAUCAGUGGUUUGAAAUAUCUUAAAAUUCUGAAUCUCUCUGGCUGCUCCAAACUUGAAAAUGUGCCAGAGAACUUGGGGAAAGUAGAUAGCUUGAAAGAGCUUGAUAAUAGUGGAACAACAAUUAGGCAACUUCCGACGUCUGUUUCUAUCUUGAAGAAUCUUAAAGCAGUGGACCACAAUCAUCUACAUCAUGGGAUUUGUGCUUCCCAACCAAUAUGAUGUGAAGGAGAUCAGAUCCUAUGACUAAUUUGAUGUUACCUUCUCUAUCAGGCUUAUGUUCUUUAACAAAAUGGGAUCUCAGAGACUGUAAUCUACCAGUGGAAGGAGGAGAAAUCCCAAGUGAUAUUUGCCACAUAUGCCUAUUGCUCAAAAUGAACCAAAAUCUAAUUCCCAUACCAGAUGCAAUGUUGGCUGAAUAAUAAAUGAUAGUAUGAACUGUUGUUUCUUUGCAUACGAUCUCUCGGUUACUCCUAGAGGACUCGUGUACGACGUCCGGCUCAAGUCGUCUAAACUUAGUAAGUGAGUGCACGCGUUGGUCACGUGCACUCACUUAUACACAAUGAUCAAACGACCCGAAAAUACUGUCGUUUUUAAGAGCAUUAGUGUCAGUAUGUAGCUGUUAAAUCGGUUAGAAAGGGCGGGAAAUUAUUACAAACCCAUAACAAGCUGAUGACCGAUGACGUAUAUUGUAUGAUGUCCAUUCCGUAGCUUGCAAUUUUCUCUCUAAGUUUGUAAGUUGUUCUGAGAAAACAAAUAAAGCUUGCCAAAGAAGGCAUAGGCCACUGUAGCUAAACAUCUCUAGAUAUUGUGUUUAUGUUUUGAUUUUUUUUUUUCUGUUUGAGCGAAGCCGUACUGAUGAUGAAGAACCUCAAGCUACAAGGAUUUAGGAAAUCUAAUAAAGAGUAAAGCCUUUUUAUACUCAUGCUUUGUAUUAUGUUCAUGUUUCACUAUUACCUAAUUGAAAUUGCAUUCCAACUUGGAUUUUCAAUUUCUUGACAAACUAUAUAUUCAUUUGAAUUAUGUAAUAUAAAGAUUUUCGUAUCACUAGUUUGUGCUUAUUGGUUAAAAUUCUUUCAUUCUAAUAUAUCAAUUAUAAUAGGCAAAAUGACGUCUACACCCCCUAAAUUUUAGGAAAUGAUCACCAAUACCCUCAAAUUUUUUGAAAAAGACACCAAAACCCUUUAAAAAAUUAAAUUUGAAAUUUUUAAUAAAUAAAAAUAUUAUAUAAAUAAUGUAAUCUAUGCAAUAGACUAAGAAUAUUAAAAUUAUUUAAUAUUUUAAUAAAUUUAAAUAUGUAAAUUGUUAUAUUUAUUUAAUAAUAUAUUUUUAUUUAUUUUAGAUAUUUUAAAUAAAUAUUUGCAUUAAAUAUAUUUUACAAUAAAAAAAAAUAUCACAUGCUAAUGUUAUUAUUAUUUUACAUAAUAUUGAAAAUAAUUUAAAUUUUAAUACACUUUUUUUAACAUUAUGAUUCUAUUUAUUAUAAAAUUUAAAUAUAUAUACUAAAAUAUAUCUAAUAGAUUGUAAAAUAUUAAAAUAUUUUUGAAGUAUUGAAAUUAUUUUACAAUGUAUACAUUAUUACACUUAUUUUAAUGUUAUAUUUCUAUUUAUUAUAAAACGUUAGUGUUGAUUCUUUUUGGGAUAAUAGAGGUUAAAGGGUACUAUCGCUAAAAGAAGGUCUUGGUGUUCCAUUUUGAAAAUUUGAGGGUGUUGGUGAUUAUUUUCUUAAACUUUGGGGGUGUAGAUGUCAUUUUCCCAUUAUAAUAUCUUUUUUUGGCUAUUAUACCUUUUAAUUUUAGUAAUAUUAAAAUUGAUUUUAAAUUUUAAAAUAAAUACAAAUAUAAUAUAAGAAUAAAUAAACAAAAAAAAGUAAUUUUUAUUUUGGAAUUCCAAAUAUCUUGUUUUCAACAUAAGAAGUAUAGUAUCUCAACUAGAUCCUAAAAUAAAAAUUACAGAGAGGAAAUCAGAUUGCUAUUAUUAGACUAUAUAGGGUGCGUUUGAGAUUGAGGUUGAGCAGCUGUAGCUUUUAAGCUAUGUUGAUAUGAUUUUUCACUUGUAUAAUAUAAAAUUUAUUAUAUCUUUAAUAAUUUUAUCAAAAUUAUUAUUUAAAAUUUAUAUUUACUAUAUAUUAUUAACUUUUGUUUCAUAAUUACAUCUUUUUUUUCACAGCAGCUAUAGCUUAAAAGCUACAGCACCUCAAUCCCAAACGCACCCAUAAUAAUAAAAAUUAAUUUUUAUUUUGGAUUUAUUUAAAAGUAAUUGAUCACAAAAUAAAAAAAAAUUAAAACAAUUGACCCAGGGCCAGCUUCGUUCGUCCUUUUAUAGAGAAUUGCAGGUAAAAAUCAUGCCCAGAACACGUUUGAUAAAAUACCCAAUUGGAGGAAUGCAUCCACCGGGUAUGUUGAAGAGCAACGACAUGAUGUAUCUGUUGCUGUAACUUUGUGAUUUCCUAAGCAAUCAGAAUCAAACAGUCAACAACUUUAUGAUUUCCCAGUUAAUCAACAAAGUCAAUUAUGCUGCCACUUUAUGAUUUCCCAGUUAAUCAACAAAGUCAAUUAUGCUGCAACUUUAUGAUACAUCUAUUGCCACAAUUUUUUUUCACGUAGAAAAUUCAAUAAAAUUAAUUUAAUAAUGUACAGGCUCAAACUUGUUGCCGCUUUGCUUGUAGUGCGGGUUUUGGGCUCCUUCAAAUUGCUGGUUGAUUAUGAUUAUUUGGGAGCCAAGCUUUUAAGUCCAAAUAAAUUUUUUAGGAACUUAAACAAGAGGCUUUGGAAUCAAUUUCUUGCAACAUGAGCAUCCUGCAGGGAGUUCCUCCAUAAAACAUUUGUAUGUUGGUUUGGAUCAAAAGGGAGUCGCUGUAUUUAGGGACGACGAAGAACUCGAGAGAGGAAAAGUAAUUUCACCAGGACUACUUACAGUAAUUGAAGAAUCAAGAAUUUUAAUAACUGUUUUCUCAAGAAACUAUGCGUCUUCCACUUUGUGCUUGAAGAACCAAGAAUUUCAAUAAUAUCUUUUAUAAAUAUCAAAGUGAGGAAACAACUAAAUCAUCUUAAAAAGAAAGAAAUCAUAAUUUAUACUUAUUAAAAACAAUUAGAUCAAAUCUCUUCAUUGGCAGCUAACAACAUCAAUUCCAUAUUCAAGUCAGCAAGUUUGGAAAGGUCCAUCCGUUGCUUGGAUUGCUGAAUCGCUCUUUUGGAUAAAUUUUCCGUGCUUUUAAUGAAAGAAAAUUAGAAAAGAAAAUUAUAGAGAUUGAACAAUUAGCAACAUACAAAAAGUUAAAAUUACUAACAAAUGAGCAAUUAUACUUUUCCAGCAAGUGAUUUGUGGUUAGCACUUUAAGCAGCAGCUACAAUCACAAAUAAAAACACAGUUUUUCUAAUCACUCAAUCCGUCAAUAUUAGAGGAGAUUCUGUUCUCUUCUUUGCUGAUUUUGAUUAUAUAUGUACAGUUUUUUUGGUACUUGUUGAGUUGUAACUCAAUGUAAGUACGUCGGUCAUUUUAAUCGGUUUUGUUGGCUUUCUCUCUUCCACAGUACUUUUUCUCUGAAAAAGUAUAGGAAUGAAAGAUGACUUAAGCCCCCGUGGCUUUCUCAAUCACCCACUAGUUGGGUGUUCUCUACAAUAUUAUUUAUGCAACAAAUUUAAUUUCGGUGGUUAGAAAUUUGGUGAGAAGUCUUAUUCAUAGAAUCACAGCAUCUAAUGGAUGCUGAGGAAUUAUUACGCAAGUGUCAGGUGAGUGUUUCAAAAGAAGAGGAGGCAGACAUGGUAACAUUCAUGGGGCGGAUGAAGAUAAAGGGAGAGGAGGUAGCUGCAAAUUGUGUAGUAGGCAAAGUGCUAACAUCAAGAAGUAUAAACAAGGAGGGCUUGAAAGCUGCAAUGCAAAUGGCUUGGAGAACUGUCAAAGAGGUUAAAAUAGAAAGUAUGGGGGAUAAUAUUUUCCUGUUCAAGUUCGCCUCUGAAGAAGAAAAGAAAAGGGUGCUCAUGGGAGGGUCGUGGCAUUUCGACAGAGCAUUGAUAGUUUUGACCGAACCAACAGGGAUUGGAGAUAUCAAAAAUCAAUCUUUUACACAUGCCACAUUUUGGGUUCAGCUUCAUAACAUACCAAUAAUGUGUAGAAACAAGGAGGCCAUCCAACAGCUGGGAGAAAAAAUUGGUACAGUCAAGGAAGUGGAGACAGACGAAGUUGGGGAAUGUAUUGGGCAGUUUGCUAGAGCCAGGAUAUCCAUUGAUAUUUCACAGCCUCUAAAAAAGAUUGUAUUCCUACAACAAGCGGAUGGCAAAACUCCAAUGCCAAUUUUGUAUGAAAACUUCCGGAUUUUUGCUUUUGUUGUGCGCAUAUCGGUCACCAGUACAGGGAAUGCUUGAGAUACAAAGGACAACAAAAGGAGGACUUGCCUUAUGGUGGUUGGAUGCGAGCUGUUACACAAGCUGACAGGAUAAAGCAAAAACGUAGUAGGUAGAAAGGCAAUCGAGAGCAAUCCAAUCCCAAAGAAAAUGUGCAAGCAACAACCAAUCCAAGCUCAAACAACCCGAUUGAUCAAGACAGGUCAAAAUUGAACAAUUCGGAUCGGGAAAUCAGAGAUGGAGCAGAACCAGAGGAUACAAGAAACCUGCUGAUAUCUGACAAAGCACAUUUAAUGUUGACCUCUUCAGAGACGAAAAAUCAGCAAGUGGGGAGUCAGAGUAUGGGCUGUGACAUCGACGAGGUGCAGAAUAGGGUGGCAAGUAAUGAUAGCCACUAUAGCUAUGAAAGUACAAAGGCAGGAGAAAAGAUUUUGAAGGAGAACGAAAAUCCUGUGGAUAAAACAGGAUUGGAAAUAAUAAAAGAUAAAAGGAAGCAGAUUGAAGAGAGUGCCAGAUCUGAUGUGGAAGAAAUGGAUAGUGGGCCAAGCAAGACCAACGCGAAGCCCAAAGCGAGAAAAUGGAAACUUAAGGCAAGAAUUCCAAUAGCAAAAGGAGCGAAGAAUUAUGGGUUAAUAGGAGCAAAAAGACCUAGCAGUGAUGACCAUCAGCUCAGCCCACAACACAAAAAAAUAAGAGUGCUCAGUCCACCAAAACAAUCACACGUGGGAAACCACACAAGCUUAGCAAUAAACUCAGACUACAGCAACCACAUUAGCUCAAACAGAACAGCCCGGCAGCUACAAAUAACAGAAGAGAUAUCAGAUGAAGGGGAAUAUGUGGCAGCUAUGGAAGAAGAAGUAUCGGCGGGUGUUGAAUUUCAAGCCCGCCGACAACCAUGAAACUCUUAAGUUGGAACGUUCGAGGUCUGGGGAAGCCUCGAACGCGCUUAGCUUUCAAAAAAAUUCUCCACCUGCACCGGCCUCAAAUUUUCUUCUGUUGUGAAACCAAGAUGUUGGCUAGGCAGGUUGAAUCGAUUUGUAGAGAUUUUAACUUCGAGAAUUGUUUUGCAGUAGAUAGAACGGGCAUGGGGGGAGGUCUAGCUUUGUUUUGGAGUGCAAAUGUUAAUGUUCGCAUUACCUCAUACAGCCCACAUCAUAUAGAUGCAAUAGUGAGUAGUGAAAGUGGUUUGAGGUGGAGAUGCACCGGGAUCUACGGCCAUCCUGAGUUCAGCCAGAAGCAUAAUACUUGGACUCUCAUGAAAAGGUUAGCCAGCCUAUUUUCCUAUCCUUGGUGCUGUUUUGGUGAUUUCAAUGAGAUAAUGCAUAUGCAUGAGAAAACCAGGGGCAAUGAGAGAAACCUGAAUAGGGUUGCCGAGUUUAGGGAAGCUGUGCAAAGCUGCAAUUUGCAGGAUAUGGGGUGUAAGGGAUAUCCCUAUACGUGGUCAAACAAAAGAUACGGAGAUCAUUUCAUUGAGGAGAGAUUGGACCGAUUUCUGUGUAGUAAAGAUUGGGGGAUUAAUUUCCAAGAAUCUGUAGGCACAGAUCUAGUGAACUGGUCUUCGGACCACUGCCCAAUUAUUCUAGAAUUCUAUGAGCGAAGCAUAAAAUUGAGAAAUGCGGGCAAAUCAUUCCCCCGAGAUUAUUAUGAGGAUAUGUGGAGCUCCCACGAAGGCUGUAAGAGUAUAGUCCAGGAAGAGUGGAGUCGGUAUGGGGCUAGAGCUUGGGAAUCCCCUGUUCAGCAAUUUCAGCGAAUAGCCAAAUCUUCCUUGGCCCAGCUAAAACUUUGGAGCAAAACCGAAUUUAAUGGUAGGCAAAGAAAGCAAGAAAAGCUGAUACAGAGCCUCCAGGAUGCUAUGAGAGGGAAUUCAAAGCUGGAUGAUGGCCAGGAAAUUAGGAGAUUGGAAAGUCAGAUUAACUCUAUGCUAGUUGAUGAGGAGAUUUACUGGAAACAGAGUUCGAGGGCUGACUGGCUUAGAGAAGGGGAUAAGAACACGAAGUAUUUUCACGCCAAAGCAUCUGCCCGCAAAAGGAAGAACAAGGUGUGGGGGAUUGAAAACGACCAAGGCAUUUGGUUGAAGGAAAGGGAUGAAAUAGAGGAGGAGAUUUGCAGCCAUUUCCAAGAGCUAUUCACUACUUCCGGCCCGACUCCAAGCCAAAUCCAAGCAACCCUUUAAGGCAUGCCUGCUAAAGUAACUCCGGAGAUGAAUGUUCAGCUGGAGACGCUGUUCACCGCUGAAGACGUUGAGGAAGCCCUUGCCAACAUGUGUUCCACAAAGGCCCCAGGGCCUGAUGGUCUUCCAGCUGCCUUCUUCCAGAAGCAUUGGAAAUCUGUCCGUAUCGGAGUGAUCUCAACGUGCCUUAAUGUCCUUAAUGAGCAAGGUAACCCAUCUACCCUCAAUCACACUUUCAUUGCUUUGAUUCCAAAAAUUGCAAAUCCUAGGAAAGUGAGUGAUUAUAGACCUAUCAGCCUCUGUAAUGUUAUUUAUAGAGUUGUAGCUAAGGCCAUUGCAAAUAGAAUGAAGCCGAUCCUUUCCCAAAUCAUCUCCCCUAUGCAAAGUGCAUUCAUCCCCAAUAGGCUCAUUACCGACAAUGUUAUUAUUGGUUAUGAAUGCCUUCAUAAAAUAAGGCAUAGCAAAGGGAAGAAGAACGGACUUGUGGCUUUAAAAUUGGACAUAAGUAAGGCUUAUGAUAGAGUUGAGUAGCCUUUUUUGGAACAAACUAUGCUAAAGAUGGGGUUUCCUAGUAAUUGGGUAGCUUUGAUAAUGAGAUGUGUUACUUCCACUUCAUUCUCGGUGCUUAUUAAUGGUGUGCCAAAAGGAAUGAUCCAGCCGGAAAGAGGCUUGCGACAGGGCUGCCCGCUAUCCCCGUACCUUUUUAUCCUUUGUGCAGAGGCUCUCUCCAAUUUGUUGGUUUUGACAGAACAGAACCAGCUAAUCCGAGGUCUCAAAUUUGCGCGGGAAGUUUCAAUUACUCACUUGCUGUUUGCGGACAACAGCUUGGUUUUCUCUCGUGCAUCAGUGGCUGAAUGCAGGCAUUUAAAAGAAAUUUUUGAUAAAUAUGCUGCAGCAUCAGGGCAGAUUUUUAAUUUCUAGAAAUCCUCAUUAUUUUUCAGUGGGAAAAUUCCAGAGCAUCAAAGGGCUGCUAUAAGGGGUAUAUUUAAUCUAAAUGUGGUCUCAAAGGACGAGAAAUAUCUCGGUCUUCCAUCAAUGCUUGGGAGAAAGAAGAUGGGGUUCUUUAAUGACAUCAAACUAAAAGUGUUGAACAAGAUUGCAGGAUGGCAGCAUAAAAUAUUGUCUAGUGGGGGGAAGGAAGUUCUGAUCAAAGCGGCUGCCCAAGCAAUUCCAGCAUAUGCAAUGAGUGUUUUCAAGCUCCCAAGAGGCUUUUGUGAUGAUAUUCAGCGAGCUAUAGCGAAGUUCUGGUGGGGCUCGAAAGGGGAUAAGCGUGGAAUCCAUUGGCGGAAAUGGGAGAAGCUCAGCCAGGCAAAGAUUAGAGGGGGGUUGGGAUUUCGAGAGUUUACUUGCUUCAAUCAAGCAUUGGUAGCUAAGCAAGCAUGGAGGUUACUGCAGUACCCAAAUUCGCUAGUCUCAAGAGUCCUUCAAGCAAGAUAUUUAAGGAAUUCCAGCUUUUUAUGUGCGAAGGCAGGAGCCAAUGCCUCGUAUAUUUGGAGAAGCAUCAUGUGGGGUAGGCAGGUGAUUAAGAAGGGUAUGAGAUGGCAGAUAGGUAAUAGCAAGAAGAUAGCAAUCUUCUUGGAUAACUGGCUGCCAAGACCAGAGACCUUUAGACCUAUCUUCCCUCCAUCAUUGCCUGUAAGCUCAGUUGUUGCAGACUUAAUUAAGGCUGAUAAUCAAUGGGAUGAAAUAAAGCUUCGACAACACUUCAUGGAUGCAGACACAGCAAAGAUCCUCAAGAUUUCCCUCCCAGCUGAGAAAGCAGAAGAUGAAGUGCUUUGGCAUUACGACAAAAGAGGGAACUACUCUGUCAAGAGUGGGUACCAGCUAGCCUUGAGAUCAAAAUUUCCAGAUUCCACCAGCUGCACAUAGGCUUCCAUCAAGUAUUGGAGUGCCCUUUGGACAUUGGAGCUGCCUGAGAAGCUUAAAAUUUUCAUGUGGAGGGCUUCAAAUAAUCUGCUUCCAUCAGCGGAAAAUCUGUGGAAAAGGAAGGUAGUGGAGGAGCCAACUUGUAAGCGAUGCAAAAUAAGUGUUGAGACUAUCAGCCAUGCUCUCUUGGAGUGCAAGGCAGCGAGAAAGAUUUGGCUCCAAUCCCCCUUUUCAGCCCCUAGCUUAGAAGCUAAUUCUCAGGAGAUUUUCAGCACUCUGCAAAAUAUGGCUAAGGAGCUGAGGAAAUCAGAUCUGGAAUUAAUGGUAGCUCUAUGUUGGUCUGCCUGGUAUGCUAGGAACAAAUGUAUCUUCGAUGGCAGGGAGAUUAAUCCUCUUAUCUCAGCUGCUAAAGCGGAGUCAGUAUUGACAGCAUUUCAGAGAGCUAGGAAGCCCCAGCAAGCUCACAUCUCUAUCUUCAGAAAAGCGAAGCAGCAGGAGUGGCUCCCCCCCCCCUCCCCCGGAGAAUUUUUUAAAGUUAACGUGGAUGCUGCUAUUACUUCAAAGAAUCUGAGUGCAGGAGUGGGAGCUGUGAUUAGAGACUCUAAUGGAAAAAUAGUUGCGGCUGGGGUAAAUCAGAACCUCCUAAAGGGGUUAGUUAGCUUGGCUGAAGCAGAGGCGGUGCUUUGGGGCCUUCAGCUGGCAAGAAGUGCGGAUGUAUCCUCUUUGAUUAUUGAGUCUGAUUGUUUAGAGGUGGUCCAGCUAGUGAACAACACCAAGGGCAGCAGAUCAGAUAUUUUUUGGACAAUUCUGGCAAUCUAAAACCAGAUGAAGAACUUCCAGAAUGUUGUUGUCAAUCACAUUCCAAGACAUUGUAAUGCUUGUGCCCAUUACCUAGCUAAGAUAGCUUUGGGGAAAAUCUCUCCCUGUAUGUGGCUGGGAAAUAUUCAGCUGAAUUGUAUGGUAUUCUCAAGGUGUUGUGAUUAAUGAAAGGCUUACUUUCUUUUCAAAAAAAAAAAACUCAAUGUAAGUACACAUUUUUUUCCCCAACAACACAAAAAAACAAUUGCUUCUUCAACUUCUUCUGUUAUCCAUAUGCUAAAAAAAAAAAAAUAAGAACAUUGAAGAAAGAAGGCAUUUAUAUUGUCAUUAAAAGGAGGUUUUCCACUUGUGAUUUCCUUCCAGCCAUUAACGUAAUCCGACAUUCGAUCAUUCCAUUGCAUGACUCGUGAAGAACGGUAGGCUCUUGAAUGCUUUUAUUUUCUUUCAAUUUAAGAGGCAUUUACUUAUAAAAAUCCUAUGCUUUUCCUUAAAACAAAUAUAUUUUCCUAAUUAACUAAAGUUCUCUUAAAGCAAAGUACUUCAUUGGAAUUCAUCUACUUACAAAAAUCCUCUCUAUUUAAGAUUUGCUCAGGUACACUCUCCCAUCAGAUUUAGAAAGUCAAAUUUUCUGAUAUAUUUUAAAAUUUGCAGUAUGAUAUUUUAUUUUCUUUAAAGAAAGGAUAACAUAAAAUUGUGUAAGAUCAAUUAAAGUAGAAAUUUGAUUCAUGCGUAACUAUAACUUAAGUGAUCACAUAAUAGUUGACUUCUUUUUACAAUUUCGACAUGCUUAUUUCAUUUUUUGUGUAGUUUUUAUUUUGUUUUAUUUUAUUUUUACUAUUAUACUCUUGACUAUAGUAAGCCGAAAGUUGAUAUUAUAUUUUAAAAUAAAUAUAAAUAUAUUAUAUUAUUAAAUAAAUAAACUAAAUAUAUUAUAUUUUAAAAAUAAAAAUAAAUUUAUUAUUAAUAUAAAUAAUAUAAAAUUAUUAUUCUUGAUUAUUUUAUUUUUACUAUUCCCUGACUUUAUCACCGAGCGCGCAUCUCAAAUUCAAAUGUUAUUUUGCACAUGAUAAUUCAUUUACAUUCCAUUUAUUCAAAAAUCUGUUAUAAAUCAGUUAAGGGUUAGUGACGUGGCAUUGGUGUCCAUGUUUGUUAACCGUGGUUAGCACUUCAGCAGCAGCUACAAAAUAAACACAGGGUCUGAUUUAUUGUCAAUCUUUAAUGUGUCCGUUUGUCGGGUAGAGCGACGAGUUAAGAGAGUGUUUAUUGAGCUCACGCUCUUCCUUGUCAUUUCCUCUGUGAAUUUUUAUGGGUUUAAAUACUUGAACCUCGGAAUUGAGGCUACAAUGUUUAGUGCACAUAUGUUGAAUAUGAAUAUGAUCGAUCUCAGCUUGAUUUGGGCCCAGAACAAACGAUAAAUAGACAAAGGAAUGAUUAUAUGGAAUUCGCAGGCCAGGUUCAAGAGAGGAGUUGUUGAGGAAUUAUGGUAUAAUUCUCGUGCCUAGGACGUGUUCGAUAAUAUGCCUACGAAGGAAUGUGCAUCCCACCUGAUGUGUUGCAUCAACUCUAUGGUUUCCCACGCAAAAGCAAUCAAUCAACAAGGUCAAUUCGUGAAGGUUUGUCCUGCGUGAGUCAUAGCUAGUGAGCAGAUUCUGAGAGUCUUUAGUCUUUAACAGAAUUUUACCACAAACACAGUGCAAACCCAGUGUUUAUCUAAUCAAUUAUUUUCUUUUUCUAGCGGCUAACCUUUUUGCAAAUUUCUAAAUAGAAAUAUACAUGACAGAAUUUUCAUUAUUUGUUGUUUCAUGAAUGAUGUGGUAGAAUGAAGGAAUUGUAGAAUUUCUUGAGUUUUAGACAUAAAACAGAGUCAGGCCAUGGAAUGAAUGAAAAAAAUAUCAUCACAUUUGUUGGAAUGAUGCUGUGCUUUAUUCAAAAUUAUUUCUUCCACUAGAGAAGCAAUCAAUAAUAGUGUUAAUUCUUGAACCUGUGAAAAGCAAUUAAUUUUCUCCAUUUGUUUACUAGCAAUCUUCCAUAACCAUUGUGCUUGGCUGUGAAAUAGCCUAUUUGUGGCUGAACAUAGAAUCUGUUUUUUGUUUCUUUGUUGCUUUUUGUGAUCUUUGGCUUAAUUUACAAUUCAUGGCAUGUCUGAAAAUGGGUCGAUGAAUAUGUUAAAUAUGGACUCAGAUCUAGAUCAGAUUUAUCCAUGAAACAAUCAAGAGGAUUCAACAUUUGAUUUUUGUUUUUCUUUUCUCCACCCCCAUGUUUAAUUUUGGUCGGAGGACUUGGUUGAUAGGAAUUGACAACAAUUGAUUUUCCUUUUUUUCGUUAAACAAGAGACCACAAUGUCAAUUUGAAGACUUUGUUGAUAAGAAUUGACAACUGUUGGUUCUUAUUAUUUGUUUUUGUUUAAUAGAAGAUGCCUUGGAAUUCCGCAUCGUUGACAUGUAGUUGAUAUUUAAAACAUUUUGAUGUUAGAGCUUAGAAUGUUUGCUGUUGGAAUUCUUAUUAAGAAAAUUACUAUGCUGCUUGCAACAUAAUCAAAGUUGUAAGUUUUAUGCCCUGCAGUUCUCUUUAUUUUCAAUUAUGUUUUUGAAUUUUCAGAAUAAAUAUGAAGAAAAAGAUCAUUAAUUUCCAAAGCAGAGAAGAAAAUAUUUUCAGAAUUAUACUACAAUGACUAUAGGGAGAUCCUGAAAAUGAGAUUCUUGAUGUUCAUCAAAUAAGUUUUGAUGGGUCAAAAGAAACAGAGAAGAAAAUAUUUCUCGAUCUUGCAUGUUUCUAUGAAGGGAAGCACAGAGAUUAUGUGAAAACAAUUCUCAAAUAUUGUGAUUUUGACCCAAUUAUCGAAAUUGUUGGUCCUAUUGACAAAUCUCUAUUAACUGUAGAUGAUUUCGGCGGACUGUGGAUGCAUGAGUAGUUACAAGAAAUAGGGUAGACAAAUUGUUAGGAGGCAAUCCCAUCAGGAGCCUGGAAACUGCAAUAGAUUGUGGGAAAAAGCCGAUAUAUGCCAUGUAUUAUCACAAAGCACAAGUAGAGAUGGCAAAACCCCGGGCCGGGUCCGGGUAUUGCCAUGACCGGACCCUGCCCGGAUGCAACCGGUCCGGGUCCGGGUCUGGGCCGGGUUUUAUCCGGGUACCCGAAUUUUAUGUUUUUUAAUAUUUUAUGUGUAUAUAUUUUUAAUUUUUUGGUAAUUUUAUAAGUUUUAAAUUUAUUUUAAUAAAAUUUGACAUGAAAAUAUAAACUUUAAGUGUUUAAAACUUUAUAUAUGUAUAAUAAAUGAUUCAAAUAAAUAUAAAAUAUUUAAAAUAAUAUAUAUUUUAUAAUUUUUUUUAAUAAAAUCCGGGUUCCGGGUUUAUCAAGUGAUGCCCAAGACCGACCCGGCUUCAUACCCGGGCCGGGUAUUACCCGGCCCGCAACGCCCGGGUACGGUCCGGGUCCGGACCGGGCGGGUAUUUUUGCCAUCUCUAAGCACAAGUAAAUGUUCAGUUAGGUUGAAAACUUGCAAUUUUGGGAUCAUGAUCACUUAUUUAACUAGUUAAACCUUUGCAUAGUUUUAUCAAUAUUUUCUUUCUUUCAUUUUUUUUUUUUUGGUUCCCACUUAUUUUUUGUUAUAAUGUUUAGGAAACUGAUGUAGUUGAAGCAUCAUAUUUGAUUAACAACAAUGAGAUGCAUGUCAGUGCUAAAGCCUUUUCUAAUAUGACCAAUCAGACUUCACAAGAGUACCAAAUUUAGGGGAGCUGAUUUCUGAAAGAUUUACAAGGUUGCAGGAGAUUCACUCAUUUUUUCUGCUUCAAAGAAGCUGAUUCUGUUGAAUUUGAAAGGUUGUACAAGUCUUUCAACUCUUCCAGGCAAGAUCUUUAUGAAAUCUGAUUAAGACACUUGUUCUUUCUGGUUGCUUGAAGUUGAAGAAAUUUCCAGACAUUGUGCAAGUUCUUCCGGAUGGAACUGAUAUUAGAGAACUGUCAUUAGCAAUUGAACUUCUAUUUGGACUUGUUUAGUUGACUCUGAAUGGCUGCAAAAAUCUUGAGCAUCUUCCAAGGACCGUAAGAGCUCUGAAAUAUCUAUCAACUUUGAAUCUUUCCGGCCUUUUGAAAUUCAGAUAGUUUCCACAGAUAACUUCAAGCAGGGAUCAGCUCUUGGAGAUUCAUUUGGAAGGAACUGCUAUAAGAGGAUUGCCAGCAUCUAUUGAACUUCUUUCUGGCAAUGUUUUGUCGAAUUUGAAAGAUUGCAAGAAUCUCAAGAGUCUUCCAUGUAUGAUAAAUGGUUUGAGAUCUCUUAAAUUGUUGUAUCCCUCUGGUUGCUCCAAACUUAAAAAUGUGACAGAGACCUUGGGGAAAGUUGAAAUCUUGGAAGUAAGAUUGUCUUGUUAGAAUCAGGCGAAAAUGCAGAAUGACUUCAACUGUGUGGAACAGAGUGCAGUGGAGACAGUAACAAAGUUAGCAAAAGCAGAAUCGCUAAGGUACUUUACAAAAUUAAUAAUUUCCUUUAUAACAUGCAGUACCGUAUUACUUCUAUGUGCAUUGCUAUCAAUAUCUUCGACCGAAAGAUUCAGAUUCAUGGAAGAAGAAUGUUGAUAAGGGCAUCAAGCUAUCUACAACAGCAAUAUCAGCUUGCUCACUUGCCUGCCAUAGGCUGAUUCAAACCUCAAGAGCCAUGCCGAAGAGUUGAAUCAAAUAACAGCAAAUUCACAUCUUAGGUGGCCUUUUCUUCCAGCUUAGUCACUGCAUCAUUUUUUUUAUAGCAGGUUCGUUCUAUAAUAAUCUCAUAGGCACAUAUCAUGAACUUUGUUUUAUCAUGCUUGCAUACUUUGUUUACUUCUGCACAGUGAUAUACACAUUCACUAUCUCUAUUUUGCAUGACUACUAUAAAUUUAAGUAGAAAUUGAUUUUGGAAUAUGCUCUUAUCCUUUAUUAAUCAUAUAAAAAGUUCAUACGUGAGGGUAUACUAUUUACAGCUGUCUUGCGGAUGGAUUUAUAACCUUACUAAGUAAUAUUAUCAACAAUUUUUGGAUUUGCUGAUUUUAGAGCCUGGUCUUAGAAUCCAUAAUGCAUUGACAAAUACAGAAAUGAUCAAAUUGCUAGCCUCAGUAGUUGCUAUUUAUGUUAUUAUUGAAAGAUGAUUCAAAUUCUUUAUGUAUGUUAGUUUUUGUUUGGGCGGGAAAUUUAAGUUUUAUCUUAGUUGACUCUAUUGACCACCGCUUGUAUCAAAAAAAUCUGAAUACUGGUCGUACGAGUACUAUAUAGCAGACCCGAGGGCAUGCGAGGAGAGACCAAAAUCGAGUCAGAUCGAAGGCUUGAUCAAAGGCCAACACGUAGUUUGUCUCCAAGAAACUCGGGCACAAAGCCCAUUCAGCGGCAGUUACAUUGUCCAUUGACCCAUGAUUUCAAAGACGCAGCACGCACCUUUUCACUUCCAAGCCAACAGUAAUCGUGGGGAAGAUGGAGUCGAUGGUUCAGGUUGGGUAUAAAAGCUACGGAGAAUGGAGGUAAAAAGGGCUGGACAAAUUUUUUUUUUUAAUUUCCAUAUUUUCUCUCUCUUUGACUUUUUCUCUCUCGAUAAUUCUCUCUAUUUAUUUUUCUUCGUUUUGAGAAUUAAGAUUUCUAACUUUCAAUUGAUAUAAUUAAGUAAUGAGUUUGUGAUACAAGUUUUUCUAAAAGAGACCCAAUUACUGACAUGAGCGUUGGAGGAUUUUCGCCAAAAAAUUUUUGGUGCCGCUCUAAUUGGAUAUUGUGAGUAUAGGUGAUUCAACUUAGCGAGUUUUGGUUGAAGCUAUCUACUCGAGUGCGAUAGCCGUCGCACUGAAUCAGCUCCCUAGCAAAUAAAAUUUAAACGUUGGCGCAGAUGGCCUGGUCGCAGUUCCAUCGAUCAGAUUCCUGCAUCAACACCGUCAGGACUCUACCAAGUUUACCUCAAGUUUCCAUCAAGACACAACAUGAUGAUCCAUGUCACAAAUUAUUUCUAAUGUUACGAUUAUAUUUAAUGGAAAUGACUCAGAAAUCUACUUCUAAUAGACGUUUUUAGAUUUAGUCCCGUGUAUUUUAUACAAUUGAAGCUUCCAGGAAAUUUUGCGGUAAUGUCAUAUGAUGUAUUGUCGGUAGACACGAUGAAAAUAAUUAAAAUGUCACUUUUUGACCAAGACUUGCUUUUCGUUUUGUCAUACAAACAAACAACAACAGAGAUGGGAAGAUAGAAUUUGUGUGACGCACAACUAUGCUUUCUCAAUAAAACAGAACUUUAAUUCUCCAAAUAGAAGUCCUCUGCUUUCCCCUGAAUUCCAUUAAGUAGCUGCCUGCUACAGUAAUGAGUUGACUCUAUUGACCACUGCUCGUAUAAAAAAAAUCUGAAUAAUAAACUUACAACUUGUGAGGCUUGUAACCAAAAGAUGCCUAAAACCAAUUAUUUCUAAGAGAAGUGGACAGCUUGAAUAAUAAAUGUACAAUAAAAAAUUUACUUUUGUUGUGAUUUUCACAAAUGGAUUAAAAAAAAAAUGAUUGGCGGAUUGAAUAAUGAAUGUACAAUAAACAAAAAAAUUUACUUUUGUUGUGAUUUUCACGGACGAACAAAAAAGACAAAAGGGAUUAUAAGUGUAUUUAAACGGUCCAUUAGCCUUUAACAUUUACUUUCAAAUCUUUACUUAUCUCAACAAGAAAUUUCUAUAACUUUAAAAAAAAAAAUUAAAGAUUAUAGUGGAAUUCUUCGGAAAGAAUAAAUUCUUGAAAGAUUUUGGUGGAAAUUUUCCAAAAUAAUAAAAUUUUUAAAAAGAUUAUCGUGGAAUUUUUCUAAAAGAAUAUUUUAUUCACUUUGCCCUAUAAAAUGCAAUUACAUUGAGGCCGCCCUUGAUAAAAUACUAAAAGAAAUCAUUGCUUUCCUCAACAUCAUGUCGACCAUAACUUUGAUUCUAUGCACCACUAAAGACCAUGAUCAUGGUUCGUAAUUGCUUUCAGCAGACACUUUUGAUUACACUUUUUGUUUUUGAGAAAUUAAUUAGAGCACAAAACAUUCCUUUCAUUGAUUUCUUUGAAAGAAACUUAGGUCCUCUUAUACUGUAAUUUUUUAGUUUUAAAUUAUUAAAAAAAUUAUAAUUAUAAGAUAAAAAUUAAUAGUAUAUAAUGAAUAUAAUUUUUAAAUAAUAAUUUUUAUAAAAUUAAUAAAAAUAUAAUAAAUUUUUCAUCAUACAACAUAAUUUUUAAGAUAUAAUAGUUAAUACUCAUUAAACACUUUAGUAUUAUAGUUUAAAAAUUACAAUUUCCCAAGCUCAAUUCCAAAUAAAGCCUUAAGUAGAAGAUUAAGUAAAAAUUUACGAUCUUUAUUGCUUCCGAUAAGCUCAAAAAUGCCAGUUAAUUUUCUUACAUUUUUUCAUUUCAAAUAAAAGUAAAAUGCCGAAUGUAUUAAAAUUUGUCAAAAUUUUAUGCUAAAAAUCAUUAGGAGAAAAAUGAUUAUUUUAGCCAUUUUGAGUCCCCCGACAGAUUUUGAGGGAGAUUGGAAUCUUGUGUAAUUUUGCUGUUUGGAGUUAUGAUGCAUCUUUAUCGUCUUUUCUGUUGACUGAACUUGAUUGACCUCUGCAUGCGACCUCAUGUAGGUCCGUCCGCUGAAAUACGGGUUACGUGUUCUUUAAUGGAUCAACUCGACCCGUAUUUGACCCGAUAUUGACCCGCGUUUGGUUGGACCGUAGGAUGUAUGUGACGUGUCUUGUUGGCCGUUGAUCCGCCUUGUGUGAGGGUACUGGAUGGUUGACGUUGUAUCUGGACCACUAUUUUGAUCAUAUUGAACGCGGUCCAAGGGUUCUGAAGCUGUCACGUACUCUGCUACUUCAAACCCUUGUUUAAUUCAAUUUGGUGGAUCCAACGGCCAUUUUCCGCAUCUCUUUAAAAUGUUAAAGCAUCAUUUUAAGCUCUACAGGCCGUCGAGUUCGAGCGAGCUUAUGAUGGGUGUCGAAGCCAACAAAAAUAAAUUCCUACUCUAAAUAAAUUGUGUAUAGUGAUUGAGCAGGGUCGUGUCCACAGAGAUCGGUAAUUAUUUAAAUCCUUUUGAAACGUAAAACGUAAAAUGGGGGAAUUGUUGACAAUAAUAAAAAUAAAAUUAAAAAUAACAAGAAUGCAAAUUAAAGUUGUAAUUCAAAUUGGAGAAAGCUCUGGUUGAAGGAAUUACCUCAGCUUGAUUCGACUACUGAUCAUUGAUUCAAAUAUAGAUUAUUAUUACUCAUGAAUAGACCGGUUAUAGCUACUAAGACCCUCUAAUAGACAAUCUCUCCUUAACUAGUCGAUAACCAAGGUACGACCGUUGGUUAUUUCCCUAAUCAAUAGACAACCCUAGAUACGAUCAUAGAAUUUAAUCAAUUGACAGCCUGAAAAACCAGAGAGACCCAAAUCCUAAUCAACACAUAUGAUGAUUCAUUUAAAUUAGAUUGUUUAUUCUCACAACACAACUCUCUGCUAUGUUAUUUGUCACAAACAUUAAAUUCUUCAUACAAUGAAUCCUUUAAUUGACAAUAGAUUAAGUUGAUAAUUAAAUAGUGGUCAAUUACCUAAUUAACAAACAUAAUCAUGAAAAUAAUUUAGAGAAUAAACAAAUACCCAAAAAGUAAUAAAACAAUUAAAGCACAAGAAAGAUCUCACAGUAGUGAUGAAUCAAAGCUUCAUUAACCUUCAACCAGAAAAAUGAGUUUAGUUCCUCAUAGAGAGAAGAGAAAAAUUAGAUCUAGGGUUUCUUUUUCUCCAAUCCAAAAAUCUCCCCUUUUUCACAAUAGAUUACUCCCUUAAAUACUCUCUCUCUCUUCUCUUUUAGAAUUCUAUUUAAAAUAAAAUACUAAUAUCUGAAAUAUUAAGUUCGUAAUUACAAAAAUAACCAAAAAUACAAAACACGUUAAACUAAAAACUGCAGGUCCGCAGUUGACAGCACGCGCCCACGCCUUAUCAACAAAGUUCUUCUGACGCUCAUAAUUUCUUCAAGAGAACAAUCCUCCUUAAACAUCAUCUUUUAGCUCAAUUUUAUCACCAAUCAAUAGAAUUGCACCUACAAAAGUAAAACACAAGUAAAACAUUAUUAUUAAGUGCAAAACAUCGAUAUUAAGGGAAGUAAACAAUGCAAAACUAGUGCAUAAAUUGCACUCUAACAAAUUCCCCCACACCAAGAUGAUGCUUGUCCUCAAGCAUAUAACUCAAGAUUAAUCCCAAAUCUCCACUCAAUUCUCAUCUCAACUCAUCCAAAAUAAUUUUAAGCAAGCAUACCUCAAGAAAUUAAGUCGAUCAACAUUCGAGAGACAAGGAUUUUAAAGCAUAGAAUCUCAUAAGAUAGAAUAAGAACAUUCAACCACCAAGAAGAUCCAUUCAAAAUUCAAGUGCAACAAGAUGUAAUAGCCCUCUCAAUAACUUCACUCCAUGCACUCAAAGUGUUUAGGGUGUCAUUUAUCCACUCAAAUCAAAUCAAAGAAUGCUAUUACCAUAAGCUUGCUCAUAUAUCACAUCUCAAUCCACAAAACAUGAAUAAAAUGCAAAAAUCUAAGGGUCUUAAAAGGGUUGUAAUGGGGUUAAAUGGGUUAAAUGAAAAAGAAAGGUUUACAAAAGAAAAAGAGAUCAAAAUGAGAAGAAUGAACUCAUUGAAUGAACUUAUGAUAUCAAAAUGCUUAUUUCUACUCAAGUCACCAAGAAUGUAAACAUUUUUUUUUUUUGAUUUUUUUUUUCGAUUUUUCUUUUUCAUUUUUUUUCAUUUUUUUUUUCAUUUUUUCAUUUUUUUUUUGUUUUUUUUGUUUUUUUCGAAUCAAACAAAAGAAACGAACCUUGCACAAUUUAAUUCAAGCAUAAUGCUUGUUGAUCUAAUUGAGAAACUUCAAUACAAGGUAGAAAAAGCAACAAAAUGUACCCACACAAUGAGUCCAAAAAUCUCCUUAAAUUGAGGCUAAAAAAGAAGAAAAAUGGUUAAGUAGACGGAGAGAAUUAGAUGGGUAAUGGUUAAGGCUCAAACAAAGGUAGCAAAUAAAGGUCUUCGGGUAGAGAAAAAGGAAAAUGCGAGAAUAGAAAAAUGGUAAAUGGUUUGCCCUUAUCAUUUUAAUGCCUAAAAUCCCGUAAUGCGGCUUCAACAUGCAUAACAAAGCAAGUUCUAGAAUAAACAAACUAAGAUUGAUAUUCACAUAACAAAAAUAUUAGAGCAAAGUGGUUGCUCAUAGGCUCAAAUCCUCACAAAGUUGGUAAAUUUGCCAUCAAAUCAUGUACACUCUUCAAAUGAAUCAACCAUCAAUAGUGGUGUAGAAUGGGAAGAAGGUAUGAGUGAAGGAAAGGUAAAAAUGAUAAGAAGUGAGAAAGAUGUAUGUAGUAAUAUGAAAAGUGAAAGAUAAAAUGUGAGUGAUGAAAGAGUAUGAUAGAAUAAAAAUAGAUGUAAAUAAUUUGAGAUAGAUGGGAAAAAAGUAGUGAGAAAGAAAAGAAAAGAAAAAUAAUAAUAUAUGAAGCAUACUAACUCCAAAAUCAUUUAAGGAUGAGUAGAGUGAAAAUAGAUGAGUAGAGUGAAAACAAUAAUUCCAGACAUCAAUAAUGCAAAAAUCCCUCCCCCACACCAAGAACUGACAUUGUCCCCAAUGUAAGAUAAUCAAAGCUCACAUAAAAAUUAAAGCGUAAGGAUAAAAGAUUAAGGGCAAAAACUUCCCUGAAUUGUGAUCUUUGAUCCUCAUAACGUCUAUAGGCUUGGCGGGAAUGGUGGGAUAAAUCCCACACUCUUGAAGUAUGCGGCCAAAUUCUGCUCCAUCUUGUCACGGAUUUCGAUUCACGCGCCUGGAAUGCAGGUCGUAGGCUGGUUGCGUUGCGAUUGCUGCUCGGCUGGAGCUUGCUUGAUGGACGCGGGAUGGCACUGAUUGUGUUGCGCGCGCGCGCUGGGGCUGCUGGAUCUGCACGCUGCGUGGGCUGUGUUGCGAGGCGUUGCUGCUGCUGCUUCACGAGGGUGAUUGCUGGAUUGAUUUGUGCUGUGCGCGCGGGCUGGAGCUGAGGAUCUGUGUUGCGGGGCGUUACUGCUACUGCUUCGCGGGAUGUGUUGCGCGCACGGUUGCUGCUGAUUUCGCACGAUGGUGAUGGCUGGGGCUUGCUGCGUUGCGCGCGGCAGCUUUCGCUGGUGGGACUUCGUUGCGCGCUGCUGGGCUGCGAGACACGGGAUGCUGGUGCUGCGCUCACGGGAUGGUGCGUUUUCCGGCGGGCUGGUUUGUUGCAGGUGUGUUGCAAGCGGCUGGAGAAGAAAACAAGUUCUGGAAAAUUAGGGAUUUUGUGAACAGUGAAUAGUGAACAGUGAUUUUCGAUUUUUGGUUUUUUUUUAAAUAAAUAAAUAAAUAAAAAGAAAGAAAGGAAUGAAAAAAAAAAGAAAAAAAAUAAAAAUAAAAAUAAAAUAAAUAAUUUUUUUUUUUUUUUUUUUUAGUGAUGAAUCACUUUGAGACACUAAAAAUUUCAGAAGUACUUUUCUAAUAAGUACGUGGGCACGCCUUAUAAAAAAUUUUCUUCUGACCAAAAUAAGCAAACACAUUAAAUUUCAGAAGUACUUUUCUAUUAAGUACGUGGGCACGCCUUAAAACUAUGUUACUUUAAAAAUUACAGAAGUACUUAUUAGCUAAGACGUGGGCACGCCUUAUCAAAAAUUUUCUUCUGACCAAAAUAAGCACAAUUUUUUUUUUUUGAAUCAAAAUUAAAAGAAGAUAUAACAAAAACCAAAAUAAAUAAAUCAUUUGGGUUGCGUCCCAAAAAGCGCCUUUGUUUUAUGUCUUUGGCUAGACACAUUUAUGCAUCAAUCUCCAUAAUUGGGACUCUCGAGAGCCACAUCCUCCACAAUAUUCACCGAAAAACCUUCAUAAAAAGGUUUUAAGCGAUGACCAUUAACCUUAAAAAUUUUGUCAGAGGUCGGACUCUGAAUCUCAACUGCACCAUGAGGAAAAAUAUUAGUAACAAUAAAAGGUCCAACCCAACAAGAACGUAAUUUACCCGGAAAAAGUUUAAGCUUAGAAUGAAAAAGAAGAACUUUUUGACCAACAGAGAACUCCUUUCUCAAAAUCAUUGUAUCAUGAAAUGUCUUCGUCUUUUCCUUGUAAAAAACUUCCUGCACUAUAAGGUUAAUAACAUCCACAGAAAAUACCGAAUGUUCCUCACUAGGAUAUUUCAUGGCAUCAUUCAUAUUGAAUUCUAUAACCUCUCCAUCAAACUCCAUAGUGAGAGUCCCUUUAUGUACAUCCAUUUUAGUCCUAGCAGUCUUAAGAAAAGGUCUUCCUAGCAAAAUUGGGACAGAAUUAGAGGAGUUAUCAUCUUCCAUAUCAAGUACAUAAAAAUCAGCAGGAAAAACCAACUCAUUAACUUGUACUAAGACAUCUUCUAAUACCCCAUCAGGAUAUGCAUUAGACCUAUCAGCUAGUUGAAUUAUCACGCCAGUUUCUUUUAAUGCACCAAUAUUCAAAGACGAAUAAAUGGAACGAGGCAUGACAUUAAUAGAAGCUCCUAGAUCUAACAUAGCCUUUUCAACUUUGACAUUACCAAUUUUGCAAGGGAUAGUAAACAUACCUGGAUCCUUGCACUUAGGAGGUAGUUUCUUUUGGAGAACUGCUGAAACAUUCUCCCCCAUAUGAACUUUUUCAUCUCCUCUUAAUUUUCUCUUAGAGGUGCAUAGUUCCUUAAGGACUUUAGCAUAUCGAGGUAUUUGUUUUAUAGCAUCUAAUAAAGGAAUAUUUACCUCAACCUUGCGAAAUGUCUCAAGGAUGUCUUUCUCUUGUUCCUCCUUCUUGGAUUUUGCAAACCGGCUUGGAAAAGGAGGAGGUAUCACAAUAGGUAGGGGUUUCGCUCUGGUGGGUUGUGCAUCUUGAGAUUGAGGCAUCAAUUCAUUCUUCUCAAGCUCAUCUUCUACAUGCUCUGUCACUUUCUUACUAGGCUCUUGCAACUCCUUCCCACUUCUAAGGAUGACAGCACUAACGUUUUGCUUUGGAUUCACCUCAGAUUGUGAAGGCAAUCUCUCUAAUACUUGAGACUCCAGGCGGCUCAUUGUAGUCGCCAAUUGACUCAUUUGGUUCUCCAAGUUCUGAAUGCUUGUUGUAGUUGCCUGCUGAAAUUGUUGAGUGUUAGUCGCAAGCGAUUUAACAAUUUCUUCAAGAGAUAUACCUGACUUGGAGGUUGACUGUGGAGGUGCUGGUUGUCUUGGUGGAUACUGUUGUGGGAAUCCUGACGGCCUAACUCCAUAGCUGAAGUUGGGAUGAUCCUUCCAUCCCGGAUUGUAUGUUUGUGCAUAAGGAUCAUACCUCCUCUGAGGCAUGCCUGGAAAUCCUCCAACUGCAUUGGCUUGUUCAACGGGUUCUUCUUGAAGUGUAGGACACAUAUCAGUUGAAUGACCCAUAUUGUAACAAAUACCACAAGUCUUCACCUGUUGCACAUUACCUACAACAAACUUUUCCACAAGAGAAGUGAGUUUAUCUAAACGUUGUUCAACAGAAGAAAUAUUUACCUCAUUCACCUUCCUUGAAGUGGGAUCUUGCCUGCUGCCAAAUUGUUGUGUGUUGGUAGCCAUAUUUGAUAUCAACUCCCUUGCUUGAGUAGGAGUCUUGUUCACCAACACGCCUCCACUAGCAGCAUCUAUCAUACUUCUAUCCAUCAAUGAUAGUCCUUCGUAAAAAUAUUGAAUAAGAAGUUGAUCAGAAAUCUGAUGCUGAGGACAGCUGGCACACAAUUGUUUGAAUCGCUCCCAAUACUCAUACAAAGUCUCCCCAGGAAGUUGUCUAAUCCCACAAAUGUCUUUUCUGAUGUUGGCAGCUCUUGAAGCAGGAAAGUACUUCUCGAGGAACUGCUUCUUCAAAUCAUUCCACGUUGUAAUCGAUCCAGGAGGCAAGUAAUACAACCAGUCUUUAGCUAGCCCAUCUACAGAGAACGGAAAAGCACGCAGCUUAAUCUGCUCUUCAGUCACGCCUUGUGGUCUCAUACUUGAACACACAACAUGAAACUCCUUGAGAUGUUUAUGAGGAUCUUCACCUGAAAAACCAUGAAACUUGGGUAAUAAAUGAAUAAGACCAGACUUUAAUUCAAAAUUUACCUCCAAGUCUACAUAUUGAAUGCAGAGUGGUUGCUGAUUCAAGUCUGGUUCAGCUAACUCUCUAAGAGUUCUUUCUAUAGGUGCAGGUCUAUCCAUCACUUGUUCUUCCGAAUCGCUAGAUGAUUCAACUAAAUCAGGCACCGUAUCUGUUUCAGAAAGCAAAGGCGACGAGGAUCGUUGCUUAGCUCGCUUCGUCUGUUGUCUCAGCUGGCGAGCUGUCUUCUCAAUUUCAGGAUCAAACGAAAGUGUACCUGUACGAGAAGAACGAACCAUACACCAAGUAAAACGUAAAAAAGAUUAAAUAAAUGACACCAAUCCCCGGCAACGGCGCCAAAAUUUGAUGGGUGUCGAAGCCAACAAAAAUAAAUUCCUACUCUAAAUAAAUUGUGUAUAGUGAUUGAGCAGGGUCGUGUCCACAGAGAUCGGUAAUUAUUUAAAUCCUUUUGAAACGUAAAACGUAAAAUGGGGGAAUUGUUGACAAUAAUAAAAAUAAAAUUAAAAAUAACAAGAAUGCAAAUUAAAGUUGUAAUUCAAAUUGGAGAAAGCUCUGGUUGAAGGAAUUAGCUUAGCUUGAUUCGACUACUGAUCAUUGAUUCAAAUAUAGAUUAUUAUUACUCAUGAAUAGACCGGUUAUAGCUACUAAGACCCUCUAAUAGCCAAUCUCUCCUUAACUAGUCGAUAACCAAGGUACGACCGUUGGUUAUUUCCCUAAUCAAUAGACAACCCUAGAUACGAUCAUAGAAUUUAAUCAAUUGACAGCCUGAAAAACCAGAGAGACCCAAAUCCUAAUCAACACAUAUGAUGAUUCAUUUAAAUUAGAUUGUUUAUUCUCACAACACAACUCUCUGCUAUGUUAUUUGUCACAAACAUUAAAUUCUUCAUACGAUGAAUCCUUUAAUUGACAAUAGAUUAAGUUGAUAAUUAAAUAGUGGCCAAUUACCUAAUUAACAAACAUAAUCAUGAAAAUAAUUCAGAGAAUAAACAAAUACCCAAAAAGUAAUAAAACAAUUAAAGCACAAGAAAGAUCUCACAGUAGUGAUGAAUCAAAGCUUCAUUAACCUUCAACCAGAAAAAUGAGUUUAGUUCCUCAUAGAGAGAAGAGAAAAAUUAGAUCUAGGGUUUCUUUUCCUCCAAUCCAAAAAUCCCCCCUUUUUCACAAUAGAUUCCUCCCUUAAAUACUCUCUCUCUCUUCUUUUUUAGAAUUCUAUUUAAAAUAAAAUACUAAUAUCUGAAAUAUUAAGUUCGUAAUUACAAAAAUAACCAAAAAUACAAAACACGUUAAACUAAAAACUGCAGGUCCACAGUUGACAGCACGCGCCCACGCCUUAUCAACAAAGUUCUUCUGACGCUCAUAAUUUCUCCAAGAGAACAAUCCUCCUUAAACAUCAUCUUUUAGCUCAAUUUUAUCACCAAUCAAUAGAAUUGCACCUACAAAAGUAAAACACAAGUAAAACAUUAUUAUUAAGUGCAAAACAUCGAUAUUAAGGGAAGUAAACAAUGCAAAACUAGUGCAUAAAUUGCACUCUAACAGCUUACAAGUGCUAAGGCCAAAAAAUUAAUCUUGGGGAAGAAUUUAAUGAGUGACUUCUUAUUUUUAUAUCCUUAAAAUUUAUUUUUAAACCCUAGAUUUUGGAGAAAUACUUUUCUUAAGGGCUGGAAGCAAAUGUUUUAGAUUGGAAUUUGAAUGAGUGCAAACUAUGUUAUUGUCAGACAUCAAAAAUCAAAUUAGCAUUUAUUUUCUUGUCUUGUCUUUAGCUCCAUCAAGUUCGUUGAUGCAUGGUCUUUGAAUUUGAAGGUAUUAAAUCCAAAAUGGAUUCUCUCACAUCCAAUAUCAUUUUACUCUUAAAUUUAUCUAGUGAGCAGAUUUUGAUGCUUGAUUCAAGUAGAAAAACAAUUGUGAGGACUGUGAGGAUUUUUUUUUAAAUUAAAAACCGCCUUAAGAUGGGGUGUGGGUUUAGGCGGGACCCCUUCAUUAGUAAAUUAAUAAAAGAAAAGAAAAUUCAUAUGGAGAGAGAUAUAUGCCAAAACCUCGAAGCAUGGAAACAAAUACAUCCAAUAACUAGAAAAAUAACAAAAGCAAUAGAAGAUAGGACUAAUUAAUGCAACCAUCUAGAGAAUCGCUUCCAAUUCCUGCGGCUAGUAACCAAUGUGAAACCUUUCUUAGAAUUGGAGGCACGCGGUCCGGUCCGGCAAUACGAAAGUCAUCAAGAUCAUGCCCUCUAGUACCCUUAGGCUCAAAUGCAAAAUAUUCAUUAGUCACAGGAUUCCCAUCAGAGCUAAACUUCUCAUCAAAUUGAAAAAGGAUAUCUGUAGAAUGGGGAUUGAAGCCCACGAUCAUGGAGCGAAUAUCCUCUUCAGUAGCUCAAAAAAAAGUAGCAUCGAUGGAAGCCCUCUAAACACCUGGAUCAUCUAAAAAAGGAGGGUUAGAGACCUCAGUGCAUCCAGUAGCAUCUCUUAAAGCAGUAGGAUUCUUCAAACCAUCAUCAGUUUGAACUCUUUUCAUAGAAACCAGAUCAAACCCAUCUUCUGUAGUAUCCUGAUAAAUAGGUGACUGAGCAUCUAGAAGAGCACCCUCACUACCAUUCGACCUCAAUGGCUCAACCUCUUUGCCAUCCCCUUUGGAUGCACAAUAGCAUUAGACAUCAGCAUCUUGCCUUUAUCAUGAAGAACAAUAUCCCGCACCUGAUUAACUGGCUGCCAGGGCUCUCAGAGCCCAGGAUUGGCAACAAAAAAAGUAUCAGUAGAGUACCCAAGAUGCUUACACGAAGCAUAGUAUAAAGGAACACGCUCAAAAAUGACAUUCUGCCAGAAAAUGCCAUCACCUUCACUAGUCCAAAGUUUGGGCAACAACGGCCGCAAAACAUCCAACUCAAUCGGAACUCUAGUGAUCGAGGGUUGAUUAACAACAACAGUAGCAUGGUCCAUCCGUAGAGGCUUACCAAUAGCAUUAGCAAUAGAAAAUAAGACAUCUUUGCAAUGAAUAAAAUGCACUUGCAAAUACGGCAAAGAAACUCAAGUAAGAAGAAUAGGAGAUUCCUCAAAGCACCAAAAUGAAGUCUAUGAGACUACGCUACAUGAGACUCAAACACAAAGGCCUAAUUCUUGGUAAGGCUGCCCACCUAAAUCCACUUGGAAAAUGUUCAAACAUACUUUUGAUAAUGUAUUUUAGUCUGUGAGGGUUGACACAAUAGAAUUUGGAUUCGAGAUGUUUACGGUUGCGAAGCUUCUGUAAGUGUUCUUGGUCCAUUGUAAACUCACAUUAUUUUCAUAGUGAAUUGUUUCGUCUACAAGUGGACAUAAUAACAUGUCGAGAUUUUUAUCCUAAAUCGCGAGGAUCAAAGGUUUUCUUGUAAAAACAUCUAUGUGUUGUGGAUGUCCAUUUAUUUUGCAUAUUUAUUUUCAUUACCAUAAAUUGAUUUUUAAAUUUAUUGAUAGUGUUUAUUAAAUUAUCUUUAUUAACUAGGAAAUAAAAUCAUUAAUUUUAAAGAGAUUAUUAUUAUUAUUACCAAGUAUAUAAAGAUAAUGAAAUAAAAAAAUAAAACUAAUAAUAUAAAUAUUUACUUUAGUUAUCAAUUAUUAUAUAUACACACAAUUAAAAAUAUUUUAUAUACAUACAUUAUAAGUAUGAAAAUAAAUUUUAUUCAAAACUAUGUCCAAUUUAAUCAUUUAUAUUCUUGUCAUUUACAAUCUUAUUAUAAUUUAAUAGUAAGAUUUACCAAAUACAUAGAUUGUUUUUUAAACUCACAGAACUUUUGAAAAAUUGUAUCAAACGUUUAAUUGGUUAUCUUUAUAGUUGACUAUUUUUACAGUACAGUUAGCAGUAAUUAUUUUAAAAACUAUAAUAUUAACAAAAUGAUCCAACAUCUUUUAAGGACCCAGCUGAAAUUUAACUAAUACAGGUUUACCAUUACUAUAGAUUGCCGGUAGUUUUAACUAUUUUUAAUUAAUUAUUAAUAUCAACCGUUGGAUUCCAUUCCAUUCUAAUGGAAUCCAAUGGCUUCAGCAUGGGUGAUGGGCAGAGUGGCAUGGACGCGUAAUCAAUUGAAAAGCCAGAUAUUCUUCGCUUAGAUUCCUUGAAGCUUCCAGCAAGCUCGAUGCUAACUCCAUCGUGUGAGUAAUCGAUUGAAAAGCCAGAUAAUUUUCAUUUAGAUUCCUUGAAGCUUCCAGGAAGGUUGAUGGUAACUUCAUCAUUAGAGUAAACAAAGACGAUAUUUUUGAAGCAACAAAUAUGUUUCACUGAUUAACUUAGCUUUCUUUGAAGCAACACUUCAAUGAAAUUCAACAGGUAGCUGCCUGUGCAAUUAAUACACUCAAAGCUUUAAGAUUUAUUUUAAGUUUUAUCUUAUACAUGUUUCUCUCAAAUACAAGCUUUUAGCGCGGCAUGCAAAAUACACCCCGUUUAAAUCUAAUCACACCUCUCUAAUUUUUUUUUUUUUCGCCCCAAAGACGUAAUGGAGUAGUCAAAGGGUAUAACCAUUAGAUUCCUUUCGCUUUUUUGCUUUUUUCACCCCCACUUUCUGAGAAGACCAAGACUUGCUUUUGGAAUACAUAUAAAUAAAUCCGGGGGAGCUGGAAGUUGCAUUUUUGUUUUCCCUUUGAAUCAAAACACUUCAUCGGAGUUGAUCAGAUCAAUUAGGUGGCUUCUUUCAACACACUCAAAGCUGUAAGUUUUAUUUUAUCCUCAGAAUUAAUUUGCACAUUCUGGAUGUUUAGAACAGGAAAUAUAUAAAAUUGAAAGAAAGCUUUGAAUGUUUAAAUUAAUUUGUAUAGUAUCAACUCUUUAAUUUGCUUCUCUUUGAGGCUCUAAUUAAGAUUUGCUUGAGCAAAGGUCGGCAAACACACUCUCCAAUCAGAAUCUGAAAAACUUUUUAAUUAUAUUUUGGAAGUAAAUGAGAGGCUGUUAAUUAGUUUGUUUAGUUAAGAAGAAGAUCAUUAAUUUGUUGUUCAAUAAUUUUAUGCUAAAAGAAAUUAUCAUAGUAAUUAUAUUAUUUUCAUUUUUGUGCUGCCCAUAAUCUUGAAUGAAUCUUAUUGUUUGCAUGGUAUUUUACGCUCACUGGAUUUCACUUGAUUUAUUCUAAAUUUUUAGGAACAAAUUAAUAUAAUGGCUUCCACGAGCUUCCAAAAUGUCUCUCAUGGGGAAUACGAUGCCUUCUUAAGCUUUAGAGGAGAAGACACCCGUAAAAUGUUCAUAGGUCAUCUCUAUACUGCCUUGAACAAUAAAGGAAUUUAUGUAUUCAGGGAUGACAAACAACUUGAGAAAGGAGGAUCCAUUUCACCAAAUCUCCUUAAAGCAAUUGAAGAAUCAAGAAUUUCAAUUAUUGUUCUCUCAAAAAAUUACGCUUCUUCCACUUGGUGCUUGGAUGAACUUCUUAAGAUUGUUGAAUGCAAAAAUAGAGAGGAUCAAAUUUUUCCAAUUUUUUAUGAAGUGGAACCAACUGUUGUAAGAAAACAAACAGCAAGUUUCGGAGAAGCUUUUGCUAAACAUGAAGAAUUUUUCAGGGAUAAUAUAGAAAAAGUGCAAAAGUGGAGACACGCUUUAAAGGUGGUGGCCAAUAUAUCAGGCUGGGAAUUGAAGGAUAGGUAAUCAUUCUUUUUCUCAACUAUUAAUUUUGUUCGUUUUGCAAGAUUAGUAACUACAAAACAGAUUUUAAUAUUCAUUCAACACUGUUUUCAAUUAAACAACUUCUAUUUAAUACAUAUGUAUAUCGUAUGAUGUGUAGUAAAAGGGUUCCUCCCGUGAAUUGAAUAUCUUUAAAAUAUACCUUCACUUUUGAAAACUUCAAUUUACCUCCCAUUUUUGUUAAGAAUACAAAAACAUUUCAUCAACUCACCCCAUUUUUCCUUCUCUUUUGAACAAAAAUAGGGUAAUUGAGGUGUUCAAAAGGGAGUGAUUUGAAGAUAUAUAAAAUUUUGAAAUUACCAAUCACAAUGCAACCCAGUCCAAUCCAAUUUUUAUUGGGUUGGGUUUGAAUUUCUCAUUCCAAUUGUUGUUGACUGAUGUAAUAAUAACAUAUUGUUUAAUUAUAUGACUUCAAUUUGAUGAAAUGAAUAUUGCAUAGUUUGGAUUUUAUUCAUAAUAUGGAAUUGAUUUGUUACUACGUUCAUACUAACUUUGAUUUAACAAUACCAAUCUUUUCUUGUUGUUUUCAAUCUGCAGGAAUGAGUCAGAAUUUAUUGAGGAAAUUGUCAAUGUCAUAUCUAGUAAAAUUCGUUCAGAACCAGAGAUUCUUAAGGAGCUAGUAGGAAUGGAAUCACGCUUGGAGAAACUGAGGUUUCUUAUGGGUACGGGGUCUAAUGAUGUUCGUAUGAUCGGGAUAUGGGGUAUGGGAGGUCUAGGAAAGACAACUCUUGCAAGGGUUGUUUAUGACUUGAUGUCUCAUGAGUUUGAUGGGAGUAGUUUUCUUGCCGAUGUUAGAGAAAAAUUUGAAAAAGAAGGCAGUGAAAUCUCUUUACAAAAACAGCUCCUUUCUGAUUUACUGAAGCUUUCAGAUUAUAGCAUACAGAAUGUCUACGAUGGUAUUAACAUAAUUGGAAGUAGGCUGCAACGGAAAAAAGUUCUUCUCAUAAUUGAUGAUGUGGCUGAUGUUGAACAAUUACAAAGGUUAGUUGGAAGGCGUGAUUGGUUCGGUCCAGGCAGCAGGAUUCUAAUAACAACGAGAGAUAGACAAUUGUUGGUGGCACAUGAAGUGGAUGAAGAGCAUAUUCUUGACCUUGAUGUACUAAAUAACGAUGAAGCUCUUCAACUCUUUAGUAUGAAAGCUUUUAAAAGCCAUCAGCCUAUGGGAGAAUAUGUGGAGCUGUCUAAACGUGUUCUGGAGUAUGCUGGUGGUCUUCCAUUAGCUCUAAAAGUUUUGGGAUCCUUUCUAAUUGGUAGAUCUGCAGAUCUAUGGAGAAGUGCCCUAGAAAGACUAAAAAAAGAUCCUUCAAAUAAGAUUAUGAGUAUACUUCAAAUAAGUUUUGAAGGACUACAAGAUUCAGAGAAGAAAAUAUUUCUCGAUGUUGCAUGUUUCUUUAAAUGGAAGAAUAGAGAUUAUGUAACAAAAAUUCUAGAGGGGUGUUGUUUUUCCCCAGCCAUUGGAAUAGAAGUUCUUAUCGAAAAGUCUCUAUUAACUGUUGAUGACGACAACAUACUGCAUAUGCAUGAUUUGUUACAGAAAUUGGGACAACUGAUUGUUACGAGACAAUCCCCCGAAGAACCUGGGAAACGUAGCAGAUUAUGGAAGAAAGAAGAAGUACGCCAGGUGUUGAUAGAAAACACAGUAAGUGAAUUAUUAAAUGAAAAACUUGUUGAUGCUUGCUACUUUAUUUUCCCCAAUUAUAUCUCUGACCAAAUUUUCAACAUCUUUACAUUAUUGUUUUAUUCACUCAUCCUUUGCUUAUAAUCUUUAGGGAGGUGAAGUAGUGGAAGGAAUAAUAGUUAAUGCCUACUUUCCUGAAGAUGAGGUUUACUUAAGUGCAAGUGCUAAAGCAUUUUCGCAGAUGACCAACCUAAGACUGCUCAAAAUCAGUAAUGUGCAACUUCCUGAAGGUCUAGAAUACCUCUCUAACAGGUUGCGAUUACUUGAUUGGCAUCGGUAUCCUUUGAAAUCUUUGCCAUCAAAUCUGCAAUUGGAUAAAAUUGUUGAAUUUAAAAUGUGUUACAGCCGCAUUGAAGAAUUAUGGAAAGGAUUCAAAGUAAGAUCAAUUUUUUUUUUGUCACAAAUUUAUAUUUUUCAGAGAAUAAUUGUGGAUAACAAUUUUAUUAUUAUAGUAGUAUAUGAAUUAAGAAAUAUCAUUUUAGCUCCUUUUUUGUUUUCAACAACCUUUAAACAUGUUGAGAGUCAUGGAACUCAGCCAUUCAGAGAAUCUGAUUAAGACUCCAGACUUCACAGAGGUCCCAAAUUUGGAGGAGUUGGAUGUUGAAGGAUGUACAAGGUUGCGUGAAAUUCACCAGUCUUUGCUACGUCACAAUAAGCUGAUCUUGUUGAAUUUGAAAGGUUGUACAAGUCUUACAACUCUUCCGGGUGAGAUAUUUAUGAAAUCGCUUAAAACACUUGUUCUUUCUGGUUGCUUGAAAUUGAGGAAACUUCCACGCAUUGUCGGAAGUAUGGAGUGUCUACGGGAACUUCUUUUGGAUGAAACUGAUAUCAAAAAACUGCCUUUAUCUAUUGAGCUUCUAUCCAAACUUGUCUUGUUGAAUUUGAAGGAUUGCAGAAAUCUAGAGACUCUUCCAAUUACUGUAAGCAGCUUAAAAUGUCUAAGAACUCUAAAGCUCUCUGGUUGCUCGAAAAUAGUGAAAUUUCCAGAGACUGUGAUAAGUGUGGAAGAUCUGUCAGAGCUCUUUUUAGAUGGAACUUCUAUCACAGAAGUGCCAUCAUCUAUAGAGCUUUUGACCAAACUUCAAUGGUUGAAUUUGAAUGACUGCAGAAGUCUCGUGAGACUUCCUAGCAGUAUAAAUGGUUUGAAAUCCCUCAAAACUUUGAAUCUCUCAGGCUGCUUCAAACUCGAAAAUGUGCCUGAGACGCUUGGGCAAGUAGAAAGUCUGGAAGAACUUGAUAUAAGUGGUACAGCUAUAAGGCAACCUCCAUCGUCGAUUUUUCUUAUGAAGAAUCUUAAAGAACUAUCUUGUCGUGGGUGCAAAGGAUCACCAUCAUCUGCAUCAUGGUUUCUGCGCUUCCCUGUCAAUUUGAUACGAAGGAGUUCAGAUCCGGUGGCUUUGAGUUUGCCGUCUUCUCUGUCAGGUUUGUGUAGUUUAACGAAAUUGGAUAUCAGUUACUGUGAUCUAGGGGAAGGAGCAAUCCCAAGUAGUAUUGGCGACUUAUGCUCAUUAGAAAAGUUACAUCUGAGUGGAAACAGUUUUGUUUCGCUACCGGCAAGCAUCUACCGUCUUUCUAAUCUUCAGGGGAUUAAAUUAGAGGAAUGCAAAAUGCUUCAAAAUCUGCCUCGACUUCCAGCCAGUAUACGUUGGAUUUCGUUAGACGGUUGUGUUUCGUUGGAAACAUUAUCAGAUGUAUUAAAUUUAAACGAGCAUCGACUCCCGCACUUAGGCCUUCAUUGUGUGGAUUGCUCGAAAUUGGCUGGCAACUAUGAUUUGGCGCUUUCGCUGCUAAAAGAGUACAUUAAAAAUUCUGAGGUCAGUCUCUCACUCUCACCUGUGCUAACAUUAUGCCUAAAACUGAUGCAAUACAUGUUAUGUCUUUUUAUUUUAUUUAUUUACUCACUUUUUUUUUUGUGGGGUUGCAGAAUAUGUCAUUGUCGGACAAGUACAUUAAACUGAGAGAGGUCAGUUUCUUACACUGUCUCUCACCUGUUGCUAAAAUCAUGCCUAAAAAUUAUGCAUUGGUUUGGCUUUCUAAUAUAUAUAUAUAUAUAUAUAUUUGUGGGGUUUAGCAUUGUUGGAGAGGUUUUAGCAUUGUUGUUCCUGGAAGUGAAAUCCCAGAGUGGUUCGAGUAUCAGAAUAAUGAGUGAUAUGCUAUAAGGCAACCUCCAAAGACGUAUAAGAAUAGUAAGCUUGUGGGAUAUGCUAUGUGCUGUGUUUUUCAUGUCCCUAAAUAUUCACUUCCUUAUUAUCAUCCGAACUUUCCAUAUCCCGUACAUUAUCUGUGUGGCUGGCAUACCGACUGGUAUGGUUAUGGAAUUUCGUUUGGAAAGCAAUUCGGUCAGGCUGUGUCGGACCAUCUUUGGCUAUACUACCUGAAUAGGGAAGAGGUGUGGCGAUACUACCAUAAUAUUUAUAAAGUGAAAUUUUCUUCGCCGUCGGUAUUGGUGCUGAAGAGGUGUGGUGUCCAUCCAAUUUAUGUGCAUCAAGGGGAUAAGUUCAACCAAACAACUGAUCCGGUUUGGAAUUUGAACGAAUUUGGUCACGAUUGUUCAGGAUCAACAUCCUUUACGCGUAGCCUUAAUGAUGACUUAGACAGGGCAGAAGGCAGUGGAAGUUGCUGCGGGGAUGAUGCAGGAUCAACAACGUCGUCUGAGCGAAGCUUUCUAAAGCGAAGUCUUGAAGAAUAUGUUGGGGCGGCUGAAGCUAGUGGAAGUGGCUGCUGUAAUGAUGAUGAGGAACCACAACCUAAAAGAUUUAGACAACUUGAAUGAAGGGCACAUAUUUUAUUUUUCUCUGCAGAUCGCAUUUCAUUUACUUUCUUUGUAUUUAUUUAUUGUAUCUGUUCUUGUUACUUAUUUCCCUGUUAAAUUACCAGAAAAUGCCUGGCUUGGGUCAAACAGUUGGACAGAUGUUUUAUUACUCUGUUUUUCCUGCAAAAGAUGCCGUACAUAGAUGCGGUGAGCGCGAGUUGUUUGGUAUACUUGAAGGGGCUCGG